UCAUGAAUGCAUCGAUUUCAGGGUCUGGUUUGAUACCAGAAUCUUUCUCCCGUCUAGACAGCUCUACCAGCAUAUCGUACCUGGUUCCAACUCCCAGGCAACGUCCGGAAAAGUCCAACGUUUCACGAACUGUCAUCUCACCAUAAUGAAGAUCAUGCUGGCUAAUGUAAGCAGAGGUUCUCUGAGGCACAAAUUCCACAAAUUCAUGGCCACAGUAGGUCACUUUUCCACUUACCUGUUCAUAACCCCAAAUUGUCAGCACGUAUAUAUAAAAACAAAAAAGGGAACAUGUAAGUGCUCGUCUGCAAUAGAAAAACCCAAUAAAAUGUAAGGAGAUAGAGAGGAUUACAAACCCUUAGAUCCUUAUCAAGUUUGCCCGCAAGCGCUUUUAAAAGUGUUGUUUUUCCUGAUGAAGGAGGUCCCAGAAGCAGUGUCAUCCUGGAAACAAAGAGACCAAGCUCUUAAAUGUUGUUGAGCAAAGACUAGUAUGUUCCUUUACAUCUUUCUUCUGUAUGAGCAACUAAUUUCUUUUGAAGAAACUACUUUGUGUUAUAUUUUCACAGGAACUAUUGUUUGAGAUCUUAUUGAUGCGGAAAAAAACAUCACACUAGUCCAGUAAAGCGAUUAAAUAUGCAAAGAUCUUGAGCAUACCUCGAUGGCCUCACGAUGCCGCUCACAUCUUUGAGAAUCUGAACAUUUCUUUUCUUUGAUGGUACGAGUUUAAGCUUUCCAAUUAUUCCCUAUUCACAUUCAUAGAAAUUUACAAAUCCGUGAGUUCACCAUAGAAAUUUAGAAAUAAACAAUGAAACUUUACUAUCAAUAGAUAUUAUGUAAAAUACCUCUAUCAUGUUCAAGGAAGAAUUUAGCAGUGUUGGAAGUGCUCUGCUGCCAACAUAUGCAUCUCCCUCUAUUGAUAAUUUCUCAAAUCUAACCUCAACUUUAGGCACAUCAAUCCCAACCCUGUUUCCAAUCAACCAAAAACAUUCAAAAUCCAACCCGAUUUUCGCCAACCAAACAAGCAAAGUAUAAAUAUAUCAGAACCCCAAUUCAACAAAACCAGAAAACAAAUCACAAACCUUUCAUUUCUGGCUCUCAUUCUCUGCAAGAACUUUUCAUUGUCAUCCUCCACAACCUUAAGUAUGUUUUCCAUCAACUGCUUCUUAUCUUGCUCCCCAAGAUUCGCCGUAUCGAUUUCUUCAGUCAAAACCCUCCCAUUGCUCAUGGCCUGCCUCAGCAUCCCUCUCCUCAUCCUAUCAUAUGUGGGCAGCCUCUCUAUGGCCGCCCACUUGAGCUCCUCCUCCUCAUCUAACACCUGCUGCCGACCGCUUCGCUGAAAAACGUCCGGCGCGUUCCACAUCUCCCUCACACUCGCAGACCGCCAGCUCCCCCGGCUGCUGGUCUGCCGGGAUAAGUCCUCCCCGGCAAGCGCUGUCGCUAUAGACAUGGUUGCUAGCUCGAAAAACCAAACAAAUCCCCCUCAGCUCAAUAUUUCAGAAAAUGGGUUGAUUCAAACAGCCAAAUCCGGCUGACCCAAUUCCAGAAACCGAUUGAACUCACUACUUUUCUUCCCUCCUAAGAAAACAAAAAUUGAAUCAAUCCACACAAAAUGUACACACUUAAAUUUCCAACCCUUUAUUUUCUUCACCAAGAAAGUAUUUUUCCACUCCUGUGAGACUCAAAGAAUAGUGCUUUUGGAGAAGAAAGAGGGGGAGGUGAUAUUUUCUGGGUUGAGAUUUUGGUCUUGGUUUUAUAGAAAAAGUGCGCCAUCGACGAAGAAAAAGCAGAGGAAGUUCAUGCGAACCUGCAAACAGCCACCUUUCGCAAAUAUUUUUUUAAUUAUUUUAUGCUUUGAAAAUUCUUGCCUUCGUUUCACUUUUACAGGAGAAGAGUCGUUGGUCAAAUUGUGACUACUUUCCAGAAUUUAAUCAAUAAAUUAACAUAAAAAGCAAAAUAUCACACGCUGUCGCUUUAUUGCUGUUGAAACUUGAAACAACGAGGCACUUCAUAUUUGAUAUUUGAUACCCUUCACUUUAAGGUCAUUUUCAAAAUAAACCCUCGUAUUUUAAUUAUGUUCAUUUUGUACCUUACUGCAUUGAAAUAUGUUCUCCGUCUAACCAACCGUUUGAUCAUUCAUUUAAAUUGAUAACGUUGUGAGCAUUUUAUAUGGACUAUUGUGUCAGUCUCUUGCGCACGAUACGAUAUUUAUUAAAAUAAAUCUUCAAUUUUGCUAAGCAUUAUACAUCACAAAAAUGAAUAAGUUGACACAAUUUUAAAAUCUCAAACGCAUUAUGAGAAAAUUAAAACUUUAUAACUUGUUUUGAAAAAUAUCAAAUUUAAUGUGUAAACUAAUUGAAAAAAAUGAGUGUGUACCUUGGUGGGGAAUAGAUUCUUGCCGAUCUCUCUUCCCAAUAUUUAAAAUUCAAUAACACUAUCGUUUGUAAAAACAAUAAAAUUACCAAAACUGUGCAAAUGUUGGGUUGGAAAGGGGAUACGUGGCGAUUGAGGAAAUGGUGUUCAAUUAUUUAAUACGGAAAAGUGUGAAUGUUGUCAAAUGCUGACCAGCAAAAUGGAUGCUUCGAUGGACACAAUUUCCACGUUUUUAAAAUACUUUUUUUGUGGAAUUUUCUUACCAACUUUUUGGGAAACGAAUCAUUUUAAAUAUAUUGGAAAAGAAUCAUUUUUGGGAAAUAAAUAAAGUGCAUUUAUCGAACGUGUAGACAUGAAAUUCAUAUUAAAAAGAGAAAACUGGGUGAAGUAAAGCGUGACUGCGUGGGGGCCACUACAUAGUUAAACUUCCACUUAUAUUGGAUUCAUAAAAUAACGAGUAAUGCUAAAUAGAUUGAAUUUCUAUAUAAAAUUUUAUAAACUAAAUAGAGUAAUGUUAGGGAAACUAAAUUUGUAAACUAAAUUUAGUAAAUAAAUAACAUGAAAGUUGGUGAUUGAAUUAUUACUUAAACGUUGAUAAACGUGAUCAUUUUUUUAUUGAUAACACAUUUUUUAGUUUGCAAAUUUAAUCUUCCUAGCAUUACUCAACUACAUGAUAUGACAAUUGAUUAUUGAAUUAUUACUUAAGCAUUAAUAAACGUACUCAUUUCCUAAUAGUAACACAUCAUUUGAUUUCUAAAUUUUGUCUACAAAUUUAGUAUUCUUAGCAUUAACCUAAAGUAAAUUAGCAAAAUUCAAACAUAAUGUUAACUGUGGAUGCAAAUUUUCCUCCUCGAUAUUGGACAAUUUUGCACCUACAAAACAACUAGUACCUUAGGUUAAGGCCAAAAGCCUCACGCGCCCACGAUGAAUUGGGGGGGCUUUGGCCGAAGAACCUCCGAUGCCAAAGUUAGAAUUUUAGAGAGAAAUAGUGUUUAGAGUAUUUGGGAUUUUUUGCAAGAGGUUUGGAAUGGGUGUUUGGUGAAAAUGGGUCCCUAUUUAUAGGACUAGGUUGGUCCACUUUUCAAAGGAAGUGGCCGGCCACUUUGUCCAUUUUUUGGUGAAUUUGUGGUUUAAUUAGCCACUUUAUUAGCUAAUAAAAUAUGAUAGAAAUAAAUGGGGGUUAUCAAAUUGAAUGAUUAGCUUUAUUUGGGAAAUAAAGUGGGAAAAGAUAAGGAAGGUAGAAAGCUAAGGGGAUGGCCGGCCAUGUAGUGUUUUAGGGUUGAAUUGGAUGUAUUUUGUGGUUAUUUGGAUAUAAUGGAUGGUUUAAUUGACAAUUAAUGGGUUAAUUAGGCAAUAAACCCAUUAAUUAGCCAAUUAACAUAAUUUUAAAAGGAAUGUGUUUGGGAAUUACCUUGUAGAAAGGAUUUGAUGAGAUGGACUUUGAAUUGUUACCUAUUUUGGGCACUUCUGUCUUGGUUGAAAGAGGGUUGUCUGCUGCUUGUGCGUAGGAACCUCGUUGUACUGCAAGGGUAUUUUGUCUUUUUUGUCCAAAAAUCCACGUGUCGCCUUGUGAAUAUUUUUGGCUCCACAAAUGCCCCCACACAUGUUGGGCUGCUCGCAGAAAAGGGCAGCAGGUGUAGAGAUCUUCUUGCUUUAGGAAACUUAGGACUGCUUCCUAUUUUGAUGUAGAUUCUCUCUUUAAUUGGAAAUUAGAUCCUUCUAGGAAGGGAAAAUAAACUUCUCUCAAAGCCUAUUUAAGUCCACCUUAAGUGGGUUAUUAAAUCAACUUUGGAGAGCAAUUUAGUCUACCCCACAAGAGAGAGAAAGUUAGAGGAUAUUUGUUCCCCCUUCUCUAGCAAUCUUCUACAUCUUGCCCGUGCAAAGGACCGUCUUUCGUUGAUUUCUUCGUCUUCCCCGUGUCGCACCGAUGUAAGAACAAUUUAAUUUUUCUUGCCUUCUUCUCGGAUAGUGCUAUUGCGGGGCAAUCGUCGGGGUGGUGCGGCAUGUCGGCUGGCAAGGGCCAGGAGUUGGCUCGGCAUAGGCCGAGGAGAUGUCGUGGCAGGGACCACUACUUGGACAACUUGGCUUGGCUUGAGCUAAGGGCAGUUUGUGCGGCUGGGGUCGCGGAUUGUGGCGCUGGGGCGCAGUGCUAGGCGAGCCGCAUAGCUCAUGUCAUUUGGGCUUUUGGACCUGACUGAGAGAAAUGAGGAGAUUGUGGGUCUCAUAGGCUGCUGAAAUGUUGGACAUGCAGGUCUCCUGCCUGCUGGAAUGCUGGGUUGAGCUCCCAUGCUGAGUACCAUGAAUGUCGUUGGCUGCUUAGUCCUUUUUGCUGAGAGAAAUGUGGGCUGUUCCCGAAAGAGGAGGUAAAGAGGAUCAAGGCGGAUGCAUUGGCUCGUCUGAUCGCUGUCAUGAAGCUUACUAUGAAUGAAGAUGGAAAGAAGAGAUCUUCCCCGCCUGCUCAUAAGAUGCCAGUUAAGAAAAAACUGAAGACUUCUUCCGCUGCUCAUGAGGGUCCGCCUGCUACCAAGAGGUAUGUGAUUGACAUGACUUCUUCCAAUGGGAAGAAAAAUAAGGUUGCUAGAUCUGAGCAUGUGGCGUCUUCCAUGUUGAGAAUGGCUAGUACAAUUGUUGAUAAAAUUACUCAGCGUAAAGGUUUUAUCAUGCCCCCAGUGCCGAAGUCUGUACCAGGACGUUCGUUGGGAGCCAUGUCUGGUUCACCUUUGUAGAAACUUGCUAUUAUGAAGAGUGGUAAAGUGGACUCUGCUGCUAAAGUGGCGCCAAAGCCUACUCUCUUUGCUGCUGAGAUUGAUUCGCCUACUAGGAAAGAAGAUAUUGCUCGCGUGGGCAGCUAUGAGAAAUCCACUAAGCCUGCUUUUGGGGAUGCUGUUGCGAUCUAUGUGCUUUUAAAACUAGAUCUGCUUGAAGUCAUGAACGUUUGUGCCAAGUUUGUUGAUAGCGGUAAAAAGGUUGUUUGCCCAAGUUCCUUUACGAAACAUACGACCCAAUAUAGAACUACUUUGCUUGCUAUGAUGCAUAUAUAGCAAGGCCGUCAAAGAGGUGGCCAAGAUUAUGGCAGCUAAAGCUUAUUCCUCAGUCGAGGAGAUUAAGAGGUUGGAUUCUGAGCUUGUUGCUUUGAAGUGGUCUAAUAUUUAUGCCCCUGCUUCUCUGCAGCUUGAGACCGCUCGCCACGAGAUUGUUGACUUGAAGACUAGGCUUGAUGCGAUCCAAGUUAAGUAUGAAAGUACAGAGAAUGAGAUUGAAUGUUACAAUACCUCAGAUUUAAGAUCUUGAGUUUGCAGUUUCUGAGCUUCGUUUUGCUGCUUAUGCAAAGGAUGAAAAGUUGAAUGCUGCUUAUGCUGAGAAGGGAGUAGAUGAGCUUCUCUAUUUCUCCGGAAGACUUGUUUGCUUUUACUUUUAAGGCUUCUAUUGGUGAAGUAGUUGGAGAAGUUAGUGCCCAGGCUGGGGCAAUCGGGGGUGAAGCGCCGGAUGAUGCCGCUGCUAAGAGCGUUACGGCUGUUGAAGGUGUGGCGACCGAGUAGUCGUGGGAUGUCCAAGCUGCUGUAGUGUAGUAUUCUAGGUAGCCUUUAGGAUUUUCCUUGUUUUUCCUUGUAGCUCUUGUUUUGCUUGAACUCCUUCGGCCUUUGCUAUUUGUUUAUAAAUAUGUUUUCCUUCGUUUUUCUUCAUCUUCGCUUAUUUUGCUCAUGCCCUAACCUUUAGACUUGAUAGACCAGUGGCAGGCAUGCUACUUUUUAUAAGCAGACAAGCUCGCGUAGCCUAUACAGCCGUAGGUGUUGGUGUAGAACUUUGGAAAGUUGUUAGCCAUAGGGUUGGCAGCCGGAUGCCUUACUUACAGAAGUAGACAAGUCCGCGUAACCACUAGGCUGUUAACCUUGACUUUCUUCAAUUCCGUAGGUUGCGUAACAAGUAUCACAACACUUUAGGACUUGGUGUAGGUUGUUCCGCGCUUGGCAGAGGUGAAGCUUAUCGACUACGUAGCAUGUCGGCAGUGGAUAUAACUUCGUAUAUGCGCUAGCUUGUUUAACCUUUUCACAAAAAUGUACGGUUGUAUAAGUCUAGCGCGGCUUUACUGCUCGAAGGGCAAGCCGUAGGCAGUCUUCCGGAAUCCGUAGGCUACCUUAGUGCACUCGGUAGCAGCUUUAGGGUUCCAGGGCAGCCGUCUAUAGGGCGUACUGCGUAAUGUGCCCCCUCCGUGUCUAGGGCCCGGUUCCUCACGGAUUAGGCCAAGAGACCCAAAAUCCUUCAGUUAGCUAAGCCUUGAAAAAGACCGUUGUGGCUACUUCUAGGAAUCCCGGCGCAAGCCAUCGUGCAUCUAGUUAUACUAGGGCAGCCAGGCUCAUCCACGUCUGGAUAUUCGGAGUGUAAAGUUUAUCCUCCCGUCUUGGAGAGCUGACCCAUAUGGGUGUCGGGGAAUUGGUUUACCCUCUCGCACUGGAGAGCAUGGGUGGUCCCUCGGGGGGCGCAAUUCCUGCGAUGAGUCCCUAAGAAGGGCGCAGUCUUCUUUUGAAGUGCAGGAAUGAUCAGUUGUUGUAAGCAUGCAGCCGAGCCAAGUUAUGAUUACUUUUGAAUUUCUCAUUGAAAAAUGAGUGAAACGAACGAGAACUUAACUGUAAGGUAGGAACUGCAUAACAACUGGAUAGUCCUCAGCUUGUGAGGUGGUGCCCGUCGAGCUGUUUGAGUCUUCAGGCUUUGAUGUAGCGGGAGGUCACACAUGGUACUUCCUCAGAUUGUAGGCGUUCCACUGUUUUUCGAUCUUUUUGUCGUUUCAUGGUGGCGAAGGUGUAAUUACUCUUGCCGCCUACUCUGUUGAUCUUGUACCGGCCUUCCCAGAUGGGAUCCAUCUUUUUGGAGUCCUCUCCGUGGGCAGUGAUGAAGGCUUUUCUUAGGACUAGAUCUCCGGGCUAGAACUACCGAAUCUUAGCUCUUUUGUUGUAGCUGGAGAAGAGCUGUUGCUGGUAGGCUGCAAUACGGGUAUUUGUAUGCUCGCGUUUCUCCUCUGCCAGAUCUUGUGGCUAUCUUCUCACUGUUCUGCUCAAUGCUUGGUAGUAGAGCGGUGAUACUUUGCUUGAUGACAUUGGGAUGAAUGAUUGCUUCUUAGCCAAAUGCCAAAUAGAAAUGAGUCUCACCGGUUGCUCGUCUUUUGGUGGUGCGAUAUGCCCAUAGACAUCCGGGGAGUUUGUCUGGCCAUUUUCCCUUCUUGUUGGUGAAGGAUUUCUUGAGGCAGUUAAUGAUCAUCUUUUUGGAUGUUUCGGCCCGCCUAUUGCCUUGAGGAUAUCUCGGCGUGGACAUAUGCUGCUUUAUGCCAUAUUUUUUGAAGAACUUCACCAAAUCUUUGCCCACGAAUUGCGGGCCGUCGUUGGUGACGAUGGAUUAAGGGAUGCCAAAUCAGUAAAUGAUGUUCCUCCAUAUGAAGCGCUCUAUGUCCGUCUGAAUCGUGGUCGUCAUGGGCUCUACUUCUACCUAUUUGGUGAAGUAGUCAGUUGCCACGAUCAUCAUGCCUUUGCCCCUAGUAGUCUGGCUGGUGAUUAGUUGGGAAUCAGAAUGAAUUGAAAGCUUUUUCACCGCCAAGUCUUUUUUCAUUCGAAGGCCUGCUAGUGGAGCUUCGUACUCUGCUUCGUUGUUAGAUGCUUUGAAACUUAGAGUGAUCGCCUGCUCGAGCAUUGAACCGUUUGGGGUGAUAAGAACCACGGCUGCUCGCGAGCCUUGUAGUUGGAUGCGCCGUUGACAUGCAAAUGCCAGAAAUCUCCAUUGAGGGAGUAAGUGCGGCUAAAGUGUGCUCGACUGCCUUCGGGGCGUCAUUAGGCUGCUCUGUUGCGUUGUCAAGGCUAGGCGUGAAGGCUCGGCAGGGAGCCGUGGAGCUAGGGCCAUGUUACAUGUAGCAGGAGAUGCUUAACUUUCGAUAUUGGGCCACUCUAGAGCUGAAUAAUGGAGUAAGGGUCGGCUAGGGCCGUGUGACGCACGGCAGAAGGUAGUGCUCAACUGCCGGUACAUGUUGCUCUUAUGUAGAAUCUUCUGGGACAACGAGGACAAAACUUGCUUCUAAGUGUUCCUUCUAAUGUUCUUCUGCCCUUGGCGUGUCUUUUAAGCUGAGUUGUUGUGUUCGUCAGAAAGCUUUGCAUCCACUAAGGUCUACUCAUUUAUCGUCGCACGUCUGGAUUCAGCAGAAUGGUGCAUCAUGAUGAUGACUGCGUGCGUUUGAAGGUAAAACUUGAGCUUUUAGGUUACAACAACUAUUGCCAAAGUUAGCUUUUGAAUUUCUGAUAACAUCAAUAAGAGCUUUUAAACUGUGGAAUACAACUAAUAGCAUCGAGGAGAGCUUUUAAAUUGUGGAAUAUAGGUAGUCGGGCCCCCAGCUCUUCUCGUAUGAUGGUAGAGCUUAUUUCUGCUUCAGAUGUGACUACUCGUCCAGUCAGAUUUUGAAUCUCCUUCAGAGUAGUGGGGAACUUCAUAUUCAAGAUAGUCGAACUUCGUCCCAAAGUGCAUGCUUUUCUGCCAGAGCGAAAGAGUCUGCCAGAGUUAGAUAUUCUUUCAUUAUAAGUUUUCCGAAUAGUGGGUGGUCCGCUGGAAGUCCUUUUUGGAAGGCUGCUCUAGCUAUCGAGUCGUUACAUUCGACUAUUUUUACCUUCUCUGUUUUGAACCUCCUCACAUAGUCUCGAAGCGACUCAUUUGGGUUUUUCUUGAUGUCGAACAAAUGGUCGGACUUCUUUUUGAUCGAGCGAUAGGAUGAAUAUUCUUUGGUGAAAACCAAAGAAAGUUCGUCAAAAUUCCGGAUAGAUUGUGGCGGCAGGGUGUAGAACCAAUCUUGCGCCUCGCCUUGUAGAGUGGUGGCGAAUAUCUUGCACAUGAGACCGUCAUUGUUUCGAUAGAAGAUCAUUGUGCUUCGGUAGUGCUUUAAGUGUCUCUCCGGGUCUUCAUCCCCUUUGAAAGAUGUGAAAUGUGGCAUGCUAAACUCGCGUGGAGGCUCUGCCUGCUCGAUCUUGUCCGUGAAGGGUGACCUGCUUAUGUUGGUCAUGUUCCGUCGUAGUGCCUCGUCGAUGACCUCAUUGCGUUGGAAAUUGCGCAAUCGCUUGGUCAAGAGUCUCUCUACUUCUUCCUGAAUUUGUUUUUGUUGAGGUAGCGGAGCUCUCGGCUGCCCCCAACCAUGACUUGCUGGUCUAGGCUGCUCUUCCAUGUGUUUGGCUUGUUUAUGCCCCGGAUGCAGUGCAUGUAGCGCGUUCCUAGCAGGCGAGCGAGUUCUUCGCAGGCUGCCGGUUGCACUUAAGCCGUAUUGAGUGACUGUUUCUCUCCAUCCGUCGGGCUGCCUAAUCCGAUGUGAGGUGGAUGAUGCUCAUUGAGGGCUUAACUGCAAACGAACACUUCGCCUGGAAGGCUGCUCAUGUUGACUAUCGGAGUGUGACCCUAACCGUGAAUGUAUGCUCGUCUGUGGGCCUGGUCGAGAGUGCACGCUCCUCCACGCUCUAAGACGGGAGUAUACGCUAUCUCGGGGGCCCAAUCGGGAGUGCACACUGCCUGAACGCUCGGUUCGUGACUGGUCGAGUGGCUGCUUACCGAGACGCUGCUGGAGAGGUUCUUUGUCUGCCCUUGUCCUACUUCGGGACACCUUAUCUGGGGCACGUUGCAUCUCGGUGCGCUGCAAGAGCCGAUUCACCAAGGUCGUCUGCUGUGCGAGGACGCUUGUCAACUCUAUGACUUGUCGAGACAAGUGUUGUUCUCCAUUUGGGUUGGAAGAGCUUGGAAGGAAUGUGCCUUCUUGGGCAAUGGAAGAGUGGUAAACUCCGGGCACGAGAUUUGAGUUGGGAAAUGUCAAAUUCGCGAAAAAAUAUGGUGAGAAUGCCCCCGGCUCGAUGGUAGGUCUGGAUGGUUGAGAUAGUCUUGGGCCGACUUGGGCUGCUUGGAAAGCCAUGGGAGCAGACUGGGCCGCAUGAACAGGCUGGGCCUCGAGAGCAAGCUAGGCUGCGAGAGUAGGCUGCUCGGCAGGAGCAGGCUGGGCCACGGGAGUGGGCUGCUUGGCUGGAACAGGCUGGGCCACGAGAGUGGGCUGCUCGAUUGGAGCAGGCUGCUCGGAGUGUGAUGCACAUGGGUGCGAGGUUUGGGCUUGGCUUGGCAACGCGUUAAAUUCACGUUGGGCUUGGAGUGACAUGGCUUGGGUCGUGGCCUUGGUGCCGUGAUCCUUGGAUGGCACGGCUCGGGCCGUGGUGAAAGCACCAUGGACCUCACCACGGGUGACUACCGAGGUAGCCACCGCGGUGGUUCCCGUGGUGGAAACUCGUGGUGGUGGUGCCGCUCCACUUAUUGUCGCAUUUAACCUCACGGAUCUCCGCAAUCCCAUUUCUUGAAUAUUAGAAUUUUCACUUGUGGAAUUUUCUAAAUUUCUAGCCAUUAUAUUUUUCUUAUACGUUUUAUCAAAGAAACUUUGCAAGUAAAAAAUUCUAAUAAUAAGAACGUAUGAAAAAUAUUCAAAUGGACUAGAAAAUAAAGAAAAAACCUUUUUGUGCGAGAGUCUUCUACGAGUAUGGAUUUCAACUCUCAAUGAAAGCACCAAUUUGUCGAUGCAAAUUUUCUCCUCCUCGAUCUUGGACGAUUUUGCACCUACAAAACAACUAGCACCUUAGGUUAAGGCCAAAAGCCUCACGUGCCCACGAUAAAUGGGGGGGCUUUGGCCGAAGAACCUCCGAUGCCAAAGUUAGAAUUUUAGAGAGAAAUAGUGUUUAGAGUAUUUGGGAUUUUUUGCAAGAGGUUUGGAAUGGGUGUUUGGUGAAAAUGGGUCCCUAUUUAUAGGACUAAGUUGGUCCACUUUUCAAAGGAAGUGGCUGGCCACUUUGUCCAUUUUUUGGUGAAUUUGUGGUUUAAUUAGCCACUUUAUUGGCUAAUAAAAUAUGAUAGAAAUAAAUGGGGGGUUAUCAAAUUGAAUGAUUAGCUUUAUUUGGGUAAUAAAGUGGGAAAAGAUAGGGAAGGUAGAAAGCUAAGGGGAUGGCCGGCCAUGUAGUGUUUUAGGGUUGAAUUGGAUGUAUUUUGUGGUUAUUUGGAUAUAAUGGAUGGUUUAAUUGACAAUUAAUGGGUUAAUUAGGCAAUAAACCCAUUAAUUAGCCAAUUAACAUAAAAUGUGUUUGGGAAUUACCUUGUAGAAAGGAUUUGAUGAGAUGAACUUUGAAUUGUUACCUAUUUUGGGCACUUCUGUCUUGGUUGAAAGAGGGUUGCCCGCUGCUUGCGCAUAGGAACCUUGUUGUACUGCAAGGGUAUUUUUGUCCUUUUUGUCAAAAAAUCCACGUGUCGCCUUGUGAAUAUUUUUGGCUCCACAUUAACCUUGGUUUAUAUUUGUCUCAAAUCUUAAUCAUCUUGUUUGGGCGAUACUCACACUCUAGACUUGUAGAGAAAAUCCACCAUUUUGAACAAGAUGGGCUUUAAAGAUCUAUGCGAAUCUAAAGAGUUGUGAGUUGUGAGUUUUAAGGUUGUUUUUUCGACUAGUAUUUUGAAUAAAUCAGUUUCAGUUUGUUGGGUUUGUAUUUUAACCUUUUGAAGAAAUUUACUGGUGUUAGAGUCAUAGGUCUUGUUUUCGCCCACAAUCUCAUAUCAGAUGCAAAAUCACGAUAUCCACCAUAGAAACCUCAAACUCACUUUGCUUUUUUUUUUUUUUUUUUUUUUGUGCUUUGAUUUUUGGGUGUUUAAUAGUUUGGAUAUGUUCUUCUAUAUGAGAUGAACUUGCCCUCAAAUUUUCAUGCAAAAAAGUGCCACAGUUUAAGAGAAAUCACAAAACCAAAUUCUAUGUAUUUCCUAAAUCUUAGUUUUUACAGCCGUUUUACGAGAUGAUUUUGAGGCAUCGAGGGUCUGUUUUCCUUUUAUUUUUUGCACGGGUUUUUAUUUGUAAUCUGGACAAGUAUCAAAGAACUAGAGUGUAAUCAAUUGGAUUUCAAGUUUUUAAAAGACCUUUUUAAGUGAUAGAUUUCAAAAGAUUGUAGAAUCCUUACAACUUUCAAAUGGAUUUUCAAAGAUUCUUAUGAACUUUGAUGAAAGAUUUGAAUGAAUUUUGAGAGAUUUCUUGUUAUUUAAAAAAUUAUUUUUUAAAUAGAAAAUAAGAUUAAAAAAUGAAAAAAAAAAUUUUGAAGACUUUGCCUAGUUCUCUCUAGUAACCCUAAGCCUCUAUGGUCCUCCACGAGUAGAAAAAUUUAAUUACAAAUUAAUAAGCUGCCCAAAAUUUAACUUCCGCCGUAAUCAUUCAUGAAAGCAAGAUUUAGAAGGAUUCAAGAUGUGGGUAGAUAAAAUCGUUGGGUUGAGGGCUUCCCUGACAAAUCCACCCAUUAAUGUAAAAUGUCUUGCCAUCCAAGAUGAACUGAGUCUCAUUCCUGCCCACAAAACUCUAACUUCGUUUCGUCGCAAAAAUUCGACCCCGAGUUACUGAAAGACAUAUGGAUGAAAGCCACACACGACGUGAAUCCGAUAAUUUGGUAGAACAUGUCAUUUCUUGUCGCCACAAUUUUAUUCUCCUUUGCAGAGGACAAGAUCAUCAACAGCCCCAAAGUUUAAUAAUUUGAUUGUGGGUUAGAAUUAAUCUCACCAGGAAGGAUUGAAUUUGAAAGUUACAUUUGCAGUGGAUAAUUUGCUUGAGCUAAUUACCUUUGCGUCUACAGGGGGUUCUACACCUCCAAAAUGCAAUCUAACAAGAAGAAAAUAGUACGUUUAUGAUCUACUUUCAUUUGGAUGAUCAUGAAAGUUGCCCUUCUUUUCUUCGUUCAAUUCUUAACUUUUUUGAGUUUUAUCAAAAACAUGAGUAUUGAAUUUGUGAAAUUAACUGGUACUCAGAUGAGAUUAUGAUCCUCAUAACCCAGUUAUGAACACCUAAAUCCUUAUCUUGCUAAGAAAUGUAUAUUGAUGUCCUGAUAUAUAUACAAGUGGAAAAGGAAAGAGAGAAGUUUAUGCAGCAAGUGUUGAGGAAGGUCUGAGGACAUGUGUGGAAUGCGGUAGAGAAAUCAGAGUAAUCAUACAUAUGUUAUUAGCUAAUCAUGCAUGCUUAUUCCGGUGUUGUACUCGCCUCGGGCCAAGGCCAAUUUCACAUGUAUGUUCACAUCGCACCGAUACGUACACCUUAUAUUCAUUGUAGAUGUCAGUCUGUACUAGACUGCAAUAGGCAACGUCUUGUAUGUGACAUGCUUAUCGCCAUCUUCACAUGAUUGUGACACUAGAGUGUAGAUAAUUUAUUACAAACAGCCUGUCUCAUGUCAAAAUAUCUUUGUGUGUCAACAUAUGUCGAUGAGUAUUUGAUAUUUUAUGUUUUCAUUUCAUAGAUAAUGUGAUUUACCGCGUUAGUGAAAUAUUGCUUUUUACAGUACUUGUUUCCAUACUAUACGUAGUUUGAUAUGUUGGAAACUAAUACUUGUUUUAUAGUUGUUGCAUAAAUAUCAAUAAUCAAUGAUAAAUUUAUAUAUGCUAAUAAAUAAUUAAUGCGAAUGAAUAAUUCAACAGAAUAUGAACAAAACGAAAUAAUAUUCAAACAGACAAACUGAAGAUUGAGGCUUGCAUACCACAAUGUCCUUGAAACAGAAAUUCCAUACCUACUCAGUGCUUGUAGUUCUAUAGACGUCUGCUUCAUCAGGAUUCAACGAUCUAAGUCAAGAAUCCAACACUGGAAAACUAAACUUCUGGUGAAUUUCUUUGUGGUUCUUUCAGUAAGAAGGUUUGGAAUUGUAGAAGUAGAAUUUGAUUUUUUUGUGUACUAAAUGUCAUGUAGAUGGAUAUAUAUAUAUAAUAUGUUUAUGCCUAUUCGCAACAAGUAUGAGAAUGAGAUGCGUCUGUUGGGAGAUAUCUUCUCAGAGAGGUGCUUUGCUCUUUGGCAUUCUUUCAUCACUUCAGACUUCAUCUGAAAAGAUGAGUAUGUUGAUAAAAAAUAAUAAUUAAUGAAUUAAAUCUGAAAUUAAUUAAAAAUAAUUAAUUAAAGAAUUUAAUUAUUAGAGCUCGUAAGGCCUAUCUUUUGAUACUUAAUUGUAUAUUAAUUAGCACACCCAAACUCAAGGUUUAAGCCCAAUGUUACUCUCCAAGGUCCAACACUUCAAUCACUUUAUACUAGGGAGAAAGCCUUCUAAAGUGAGAGAACAUUUUGGUGGUGACCAAUGUGGAACAAUGUAGAAUGAAGAUUUCUACUCAAAAUUUCCAACAAUAGUGAAGGGUUACAACUUUAACGAAAACAACGACUUUGCGAAACUUUGCUUUUUCAGCUCACUCACCUUUGUAUUUCGCCCCUCCAUGAUUUUAGUGGCAGAGCACUUGUGACGACGAUGAUUUCUGACAACGUUGACGUGUAGGAGGUUACUCUUGAUGGUAUAAUGCUUAUUUUACUUUUACUACUAUUUGUCUUAUGCUCUGACACUCACAUGCACACUCUUGUUAUAGUAAUUUUUAGGUUUUAAUUUAUUCAUAUUUUUUCACAUCAAUAUAUUUUUUGGCUUCAUUGCCUUUGAAGUGUCGGUCUGCACAACUCUAUUCAGUGUCCAAUUGGACAUUCUGAAUCAGAGUGUGUCAAGCGGGGUCAUUUUGCUUCAACUUCAAGAGGAAAAUAAUGGCCUUGGCAAGUGAAGUCUAGUUUUUUUAUUUUGCAAUUAGAUUUUUAACAUGAUGUAACUUUGUGAAUGAUCUUUAUUGGAUCGUCAUUAUGUUCGGGAUAUUUGGAUUUUUAUUUAAGAAUAUUGCGUUGUUGAACUUGAAUGGCAUGUAUUUUGGCUGUUUAUUAUGCAUGAGCGUGGAAUUGUUGUUAAAUUAUAUGUUUUGGUGCAAGUACUAAUAUAUAUUUUUAUUAAUCAUUAUUUUAUGCAAUGCAAGUCUCGAACAUAGCGCGACAUCACAAACCAGUACCUCCAACGUAAGUCGAUGUAGAAAUCAGGGAGAACAUAUUUUUAUUGAAAUUCUAAUGCAACACGAUGCUUAUCUUAGACAAUGCUCCCGAUCACAUUAAUUUGGGCUCUUUCAUGUCAACUACCCAAGUAAUCACUAAUGAUUCCACUAUUGUAAUUUGGAAUUUAUUUCCUUAAAUUACCUUUACAUGCUCUAGCAAGAUACUACUGAGUCAUUUAAAAGAACAUUAUUUCUCAAUUUUAAGGGUUCAAAGAUUUAUUGUUGUACAUUCACGUGUCUCCAUGAAUAAAACCAAUGACAUGGAUAAUGCACUAAGAGAAAUACUAAGGAGACUCUACCAAAAUGGGACUCUCUGCCAUGUCAUUGUUUUGAAACAAUGUUUUAUAAUGUUGGUACGAGAAUUGUGCAAAAAACAUAAAGUGGUGGAAAGUUCCACUUUUAAGAGAAUUUCCUUAGCAUUUCUCAUGCACUAAACAAGCCCUUGGCCAUGAUGUGUGUCACAAAGUCAAUGACCUAUCCACAAGAAAAUUGUGAUGAUCUAUUAAGCACCUAUGUAUCUAUUUUAAUGUCACCACACAAUGAUAUGAGAUGAGUCAUCAUAAACAUAUAAUACAUACUGGUCUUUGCAGUUUAUCAACGUUCACUUUACCUAUUCUAAAGUUGAGGAGGGAUCUACAGUUAAAUGAUUGACCCUUGAUUUUGUUUUAUUUACACCACUGCCAUCAUAUAUGGCUGGGUUGAAGGGUAAUUAUAAAAAAAUUAGGAGGGCAAUUUGGGCUCUGUGUUUGGGGUUAGGGGUGAUGUCGGUGUCACGGACAAGUUUGAGGUUUGUGGGUGGGUGUAGGAUUUCAGGGAGAAAAAUGGGGAGAAAUUCUGGGAGAAAAAGGGAUUGAGCGGUCAAUUUGGGGAGAGAGAUAAGAGAGCGUGUUUUGGGGAUUAGAUACCUGUACACAGUUGAACUUUUUGUUUCAUCACUUUUUCUGGCGGUUCUUUUUCAUUAUUUCAGAAAUUGAGGAUCCAUUUGAAAGACAAUAGCAACGAUUGAAAUUAGGGUUUAGGUACUUUUAAUCAUAAUCCAUGCCUUAUGUUCUCAUAAUUCAUCAUUCCAGCGUUGUUUUCUAUCUUGAUUCUUGCACUAGUUGUUACUCUUGAAAAAAUCACGUAGAAUUCAUAUGCUUUGGUAUGGUUCAAAAUGAUAUCAUGUGAAGAAGUUUCAUCACUGUUUUGAUAUCGUGACUUUCAAUGUGCUUAAGAACUUAUAUGCAGUUGCAUUUUUCUCUGCGCACUGCAGUUGAUAUCAUGACUUUCAAUGUACAAAUUUGAUGGUUUUAAUUGUGGAAAUAGGGUUGAAUUGAUUUUGUUAUCAAUUUAGCCCAGAAAAAUUGAAGAUUUUUUGUUUAUGCCUACAAGCUUGGUUUUUGAGUGGUUUUUGGUCAGGGAAUUUAUUUUGUGCUUAUAGUUCAUGUAUUAUUAAAGUUUUUGUUUAGUUUUAUAUUGGGUUGUGGAUGCUUUGACAAAAGAUGUUGCCUGAGAUUUAAAGCAUAUGUUGGUUGUUUUUAAUUCUACCAUUAAAACUCAUGUUGUCUGUUUUUAAUAUUUGGUGGUAAUUUUAGGUGUUUAAUUCUUCAUGUAAUCUCUGUGAUCCCUAAAAGAUGAAUGUGAACAUACAAGCUUGAAUAACGCAACAAAAGCAAGAUUAAAUAAUUAUCGAUGUCGUCAAAAUCACUAAAACAAUAAAAAAAAUAUGAAGUCUUACCUCAUGUGAAGCUUCCGAAAUAUCGAUUUCGUGUUUCAUUCAUCAAAUUUUUUUUUCUCAAUCAACAUGUUUGUAGUUUCAUUGAUUAGAGUUUUGUUCAAUAAUGGAGGGUCGAAGGGGUUUUGAUAGUUGAAGAAGAUAAAUAUGUCGUUAAAAGUGAUUUGGGGUGUAUUUAGAUUUUUUUAUUUUAAACCUAAUAAGGUCAAAAUUGUCAUUGCAUAGUAGAGUAAAUAAGUCAUUUAAUAUUAAAUUUUAAUGUGGGUUGCAUUCAACAUUUUGUGGGGUGCUAAUAUAAAAAGCCAAUAUCUUUUGAUGAAUGAAAUGAAAAUGACAAUGAUAAUGAAAUAUGGUUAAUACAUUAAAAUUAGGAAGAAAAAGAGAAAUAAUUAAAACAUCAAAAUAUAAUUAAUAAAUGAGGUGAUUAAUGUAUCAAGAGACUAAAAUUAGAUUUUGAUCUUAAUCACGGUUUUAGUCUAAAGGCUAAAUUGGAUUAAUGUCCUCGUGGUAAUAGGGUAAUCGGAAGAUAAUCCCCGUGGUUAAAACAUUCGGAUUUAAACCCUAAGUUCCGUUAGGAUUUAAACCCAAAAUUAACAUUCCCAUUAACCCACUCCAUCUUUUUUCUAGAUUACCCUAUUAACAUUUCCAAAUAGUUAAUUUAGCCUACAAAUUAACUAUUAAUCCAAUUAAGUAAAUUAAUCAUUAAUUUGUUGGCUGUUUUUGUUGGAUUAACAUUUCUUGAUUGGUUUUAGAAAUGAUAAAAUCUGAACCAGCCAACAAAAUCAAUCGAUGGUUCAAACUAAUUCGUUGAGAAUCACACACCAAUCAAGCAAAACAAAACCCAAGAAACAUGAAAAGAGGAGCAGCAGGCAGACCUCAUCAUCAUCCGCUAAAGAAUUAUCUUUGUUUGGGGUCUGAUUGUUUUAUCUGAAAAAGCAAACAAUGAAGGGAAGCUGAAGAGAGAGAUGAGAGAAAGGAACAGGAUUUCUGAGGCAUAUAUGAAGAGAACAAAGUGAACAGUGUUCUAGUAAGCACCAUAUUUUCAGUCGGCUCCAGAAGAAAGAGAGGCUCUGUACUUUGUGACUUGAGUUGGCAAAACUAUAGCUACAAUGCAGGCUUGACGCCAUCAGAAAUCUUUAUUUCUCACACUAAUUAUUUAAAUUUGCUAUUAAUUUCUUUUAUUUUGGAGCAGAAAAUUAUUAGUUAAUUAACAUGUUCCCUAACUAUAGCUGUAACUGUUUUUUUUUUUUUUGGGUAACAAUAACUGUAACUCUAUGAUUUGGAUGGUGGGAUGCAGACAAAUAUCCAUUUGGUUGCUCCAGGCCAAAAGUCUAGAGGGAAUGAGAGAGAGACGGGAUGCAAAGAAGCAGGCGGGGAGAGGCAGAACCAAAGUAGGAAAAAGACGGGGGUGGGGGUGGAAAUGUUAACGGAAGUUGAUAUUAAUGUUAAUUUUGGACUUGAAUUCUAACCGAACUUCACCAUGAAGGUUUAAAUCCAAAAUUUUUCACCACGGAGCCUAAUCUAAAAGUCAUCAUUGCCAAUGAUUAGAAUGAAGUUUCCUAUUAUAUUUUUUUUUAUAAACUAUAGUAUGUCUCAUGUACUAUUCAACAAGUCUCACUUUAUUCUUCUAACGUAGUGACAUAUUUGCACAAAAUAAUGAGCGAUUGGGCCAAGCCACAAAAUAUACCUUUCAUAAUAUAUUGGUAUGAAUUUCAUUAUUAACGAAAUUCAAACCUAAUAUUUUUCACUUAUACCGAAUAAAUAAAUCAAGAUCAUUGUUGACUUAUUACAAAAAAUAUCUUCAUUAUUUUCUCGUGGAUAUCAUUGAGUUUUUGUUGGAGAUUAACGGACGUUGCAAGUUGGUGGAUAAGUUGAGUGCGUAGCAAGACAAAGGCCUGAGAAAAGGAUUGUAUUGGCAUGGUCCCAUUGCUUAAUUGAUUUUGGAAGGUCCUUCAUUGAGUGUGGGGGGCCACUACGUGUCCUUGUCUCACACUGCACAAGGGGGAAUAUGGUCCAUUACUUGCAGAAGUUUCGGGUGUCACUGUUUUAGACAAUCGUAGAAAAUGGAUAAGGUGGAUUCUCUCCGAUCCUCUAUGUGAGAAUUUUAAGUAUCCUUAUAUAUUAAUCGUUCAUUAAAUAUUAUGUGAUCAGUUUUCGUUAAAUAUUAUUUAUGUUUACUUUUAAAUAAAAAUUUAAAAUAAUUUAUGACUGCACAAUAUACGAUAAACGAUUAAAAUGUGAAGAUUUCUAAAAUUUUUACUAUUUAAAUUCGGAUAUGAUCCAAAUCCGUGGAAAAUUCCACCCCUUCUAGAAACGUUGAAAAAACACCCUUCAGCUGGCCAGCUGUGUGAUGUAAAAGGAUCUAUAAAGUUGCCCUUUUAGUUGCGAGUUUUGAAAGUCAAAUCUUAAAAAAUUGAGCUAAGCUAUAAUGGCGUACCUGUUUGCUUCAUAUUCCGACGUCCAUAAUUCCGUGUAGGUAAGGUAAGGGAACUGUUUGGUCGUCGAGGAGUACUUGUAAUAUUCUCUGAAAUAUUUUUUUGUGUUGAUUUUUUCAUAAUUUUUCGAAAAUUCUUGUAGGCUAAUUUUGACAUUUUGAGUCUGUUUUUUUACAUCUAUUUAGUAAAAUUUCAAAGUUUUAACGUAGUUGAUCGGCUCUGCAACUCAGUUGACUUUUUAGAGUUAAUCGUUGACCUUCUAGUUGACUUUUUACAAAAAUUUAACGAGGACCUUUCUUAGCGUAUUUUGACGCCUUAGUUCCAAAUCCGCACUCCAUUUUCCCGAAUUUAAUCAUUUUAGUUGAGUUUUACUAAUGGACCUCAAUAUUAUGUUUAGGUGUGAUUACUAUUGGAGACUCUGGCCUUCCUAGUUCCACCGGCUAUGACUUCGCAAGUAUUUGUAAAUGGGUCUUUUCUUUUAUUUAGUAUAUAUAUUAUUUGAGUUUCUAUACAUAGAUUAAUAAUGCAUUUUCUAAGUGAUUUCAUAAUUCAAUUGACAUUAUAAGAAUUGUUGCAAUGAUGAAAAUUGUGAGAUUAUUAUGAAUCCCAAGGGAUGCACAGGUAUGCAUAUUAUUGCAAGAUACGUUAUUUAUAUUACGGAAAUGAAUAGUAUUAUGUCAAUGUAAAUUAUUGAUUUACUAUUGUAUGAUUUUAUUUACGUUAUCUGCUCAUCGUUGUUGCACCGGUGUAGUACUCGCCCAGGCCAGAGCCAGUCUUUCACAUGUAUGUUCACAUCGCACCAUAUGCUCACUUUGGAUCUAUUGUAGGUGCCAGUCCUGUCCUAGAUUGCUAUAGGCAAUUAGGACUCGUAUGUGAUGUGCAUAGCGCCAGUCUUCAUGUGAUUGUAGUACUAGAGCAUAAAUCAUUAUUACACCCAGUCAUGUUCAUGUCAGAAUAGCUCUGCAUGAACUCUUGUGUUAGCGUAUGUCGAUAAGCAUUCAAUGUGAUAUGUUUAUUUCUGCGAGAUAUUGUGAUUACUGGAAGUUAUAUGCCUAUUUACGAAUUUUGUGACGUAUUGAAUUCUUGAGAUAUUGCAGGCUACAGUAAGUAUUUUCAUACUAUACGUAGUAUGUAUAUUUUGGAAACUAUAUUUGUUUUACAGCGAGGGGUUAUAAUGUUUUCAAAAAUGUUUUUAUAAAACUUUAUCUUUAGGCUCACUCAUCCUUGUUUUUUGCCCCUCCAGGUUUAGUAGCUGAGUUUUCGUGUUGACGAGGAUUUAUGGCAAAACGUUGUUAUGGGAAUACUCCUGACGGUAUAACUCCUCUUUCACCUUUACUGUACUUUACUUAUGCUCUGACAUCACGUGUGAAAUGAGUUCAUUCUCGCUCACAAGCGCACUUUUACAUUUAGGCACUUUUAGGUUUAAAUUUACUCACAUUUUCCACAUCACUACACUUUAUGGCUUCAUCGCAUUCUUGGUGUCGGUCAGCAUAGCUUGAUUCGGGGUUCAGAUGAACAUUCCGGGUCGGGGUGUGUCAUUAUUUACACUACAUAUUAAUAACACUAUGUUUCUCAACCCAAAAACUAAUGAAAUUACUAUUAUACCCAUUUAUACAUAAUUGAAAGAAAAUAUUAAAUUAAAAAAUAUUGGUGUUAAAGUAAUUUCGCACAAACAAUUUUUUCCUUUCCUCACCCACAUGUAACCACAGUUUUACAACUCUUACUCAUCUACCCUCUCUCCUAUUUCCUACUUUUUCCCUCUUAUUUUUGUUAAUUUUUAAUUUUAUUUUAUUUUGAUUCCAAUUUCCUUUUCAAAUUAUCAUAUAUUUAAACACACUCACUAUAUCUGACUUUAUCUAGUGUUAUUAAAAAUGGUUGUUCUAGCCAAUUAGUAUUACGGUCUAGUGAUAUUCUUCUUUACAUGUAAGUGAGAAGUCUUAGGUUCGAUUUUGCUAAAGAUGAAUUUGAACCACAUUAUUACUAGGUCAUUACAAGGCUAAGUCCGCUCCCUCAUUCUUAGUAUAAAUAAUAUCGUUUAUUUAAAAAAAAAAAAAGAUUCUACAAAAUUCAAUUCAAUUUACUAACCAAUUUAAAAAAAUAAUGGCUCUCUAUGGGUGAAACGGUAUUAAGAGUAGAGUAAAUUGUAGCAUUAGUCUCUGAACUUUAAUCAAAUUGGAGCAAUGGUCCCUCAACUAAAAAUCCAUAACCAUUGGUCCCUCAACUUAUCAAAAUGUGUAGCUAUAGUCAUUUUCAUCAAUUUCUUCAAAAUUUUGUCAAAAUAAGUUAUGUUGGGAUAACCAUUUAUAUAAUUAAGGUCCCUCAACUCAUCAAAGUGUGUAAUUAUGGUCCUUUUCGUCAACUACGUCAAAAUUUUUGUCAAAACAAGUUAUGUUGGAAGGACCAUUGCUACAAUUGGGUUAAAGUUAAGGGACCAUUUCUCCAGUUGAAUUAAACUUGAGGGACCAAAGGUAAUGGAUUUUUAGUUGAAGAACCAUUGCUCCAAUUGAGUUAAAGUUAAGGAACUAUAGCUACAAUUUACUCUUAAGAGUAAUAUGAUGGAUAUAUAAGGACGUCUGAUAAGUUUCAUGAUCAAAAUUUAGGUUUUCAUCAUUUUAGCCAAUUGUCAAUCAAAUUUCCUUAGUAGAUGUCUGAAAGAUGAAACAGUUUUGGAGAGAACCACUUUAAAAUAACAAUUAGAAAUCCUCAACCGCCAAGACGACCAACCACUAAGUAAAACGUACACUAAGUAGACCUGGAAAGUGGGCAGUGUUUUUCGUAUUUGUGUUAAGUUGUUAACAUGUUGUCUUAAUGACUCAUAUUGUGUUGACAUGUUAAGCUAAUGGUGGAAGAAUCUUGAUCCGAUGAGUCAUUAAAAUAACGUGUGAUCCAACUUGAUCUGUUAAAAUAAUAAAAGAAGGCCUACUGACGCUCCAGUUCGAAGAUGUGACUACGGGACAGAGGUUCAGGGCCGAAGGGGUAGAGGAAGACCUAGGAAAACUUUGGAAGAGACCCUAAGAAAAGACUUAGAGUACUUGGAUUUAACGGAGGAUAUGACACAAAACCAAGCGCAAUGGUGUUCUAGGAUUCACAUAGCCGACCCCAUUUAGUGGGAAAAGGCUUUGUUGUUGUUGUUGUUGUUGUUGUAUCAUGAAACUCACCAAGUCAAAGAAAUGUAUGGCUACUUACUUACCUAAUGGGAAACAUAUACUUUCAGGCUUGAGCCACUUUAACCGAACGGAUCAAUAAAUUGUAGACACCGGAAUACUGAAUGCUAGUCAUACAUUCCAUACAUGAGUCUCUUAACAAGUUGGAAUAGACAUGCUCCUGACGAGUAUCCAUGAGUGACCAUUUGGAACCGUUCGUUAACUAAUUACUAACGGGUCCGUCAGCUUUAAUCCAAACUUACUAAGCGCAUCUCCAAUAACGUGUCCGCUCUCUUAAAUCCAAACAUAUUAAGGCUCAACUCAAACAUUGAAAUUUUCGUUUCGUAUAAAUGGAUGGUGUGCUAUAUUGCCAGGUCUUACUCUAAGGUUGAGGGAAGAAAAAUGGUUUAAGUCCACCAAGUAAGAAGUCAACUUUAGGCUUGGGGCGGCUUAAACACACAAGCUUGUUUACCCCCUUUUUUUUUUUUUUUUUUGAACAAAAGCUUGUUUACUUGAAUAGAGGGUUACACUCGACUUUUGGUUGAUAGAUUUUUGUGCAUCAAUUUACCUAAAUUGAAAGAAAAAAAAGUCUUCUCACUUAACAUGACGAUCUAAGUAGUAAUUUUCUGGACUUAUAAGUGAGAGAUUUUAUAUUUGACUUGUUAAUAGCGAGUUUGAUAAUACAUUAUUAUAUGACUAAUUCAUUGUGUAACUUAGCUGAAAUCUCUCACCUCUCUUAGUGUAAACAUACUAUUGUAUCAAAAACUAAAAGUAAAUUGUAUCUAGGCCCAAUUUUUUUUCAUCUCUGAGACCCAACAACCCAAUUUUUCCCACCAAACUCCCAAAUUUCCUCCCUCUUCUCAUUGAGUUUAAAUCGUCUGCACACAAAACUCUUUGUGACCUCUCUAUGCUCUAUCUACUUCAGCGACAGGUGUCAUUUUGACUUAAUUUACUUUUAGUUUUUGAUUUUUUUUUAUUGAGGAGAUAAAUUGAAGAAUUAACAUUGUUAAAUGUGGUUUAAAUGACUGAUCAGGUGUUAAUAAAGGAGAUAGAUGAUAAAUCACACAAAAACCGCAUAAGAUUUUGGGUGCAGAUGAUUUGAACUCCUUCUCAUUAGCCUUGAGAAGAAUAAGAACCACCAUGCUCUGCCACUUCGGCUUCAAACAUAGCUCCACUCUAUGCUCCUGUCAACUUCUGUUCAAAUUAGCCUUUCUCUUUUCUGAUUGGUUGGAGUGAACUCAUUCUAUUUUUCAGAAGGACGAGACUUUAAAACGCAGAAAGUAAUCUUCCCACGCUUGAAAGCCAAGUACAUAACGUGAACCAAAUGUCAAGCGAGAUACCAUAACAUCCCACGAUUACUAUAAAACCAAAAGUUUGGAAGAGAUCGACCACAAAACAACUGAAAGAUACCAAAAAAAAAAAAAAAAAAAACAUUCACAUUAUUACUGCUUGCAAUUAUUUCAAAUUAUGGAGAAUAUUGAGAGGAAGAGGUUGGCCGUUUUGGUGGGGUGCAAUUACCCAAACACCAGAAACGAGCUGCAUGGUUGCAUAAACGAUGUGCUCGCCAUGAGAGACACACUUGUGAGUCGGUUUGGGUUCGAUCCGAGCGACAUUCAGCUGUUGACUGAUGCAGCAGCAGCAGAUGCUGGUUCUGGUGGUUCCUCAUCAGUUUUGCCAACAGGUGCAAACAUUAAGAAGGCACUUGGUGAAAUGGUUGAUCAGGCUAAACCAGGUGAUGUCUUGUACUUUCAUUACAGUGGCCAUGGAACAAGGAUUCCUUCAUUGAAACCAGGCAACCCCUUCAGGCAGGAUGAGGCAAUUGUGCCUUGUGAUUUCAACCUCAUCACUGGUGGGUGUUUAAAAUUACUAAUAUGCACUAUAUCGUGUCCUUUUAGUCUAGUUAUUUAAUUGUUCUAUUUAAUUUCUCUCUUAUAUGUUAUACUUCAGGUAAUGAUACAUGCAUAUGGAUCAUAUUGUUUAGUCACGUUGUAGUUCACACCACUAACAGGAGUGAGACCCGCUCAUACGAUUACGACUCACUUUUAUUAGAAAUGUGGUCUACAAUGUGGUGCAAAUAGUUUCAUACUUUCUAAUUUACCGAAAAUAGUUAUGUAUGUUUUUAUGGUAAAAUUGUGAUAGUGAGAGAAUUUAUAUCCUUAAGAGUAUAUGUAAUGAUACUUUUAAAAUGCUUAAAAACGCUUUUAAAUAAUUAAAACAUUUUCACUUGCGCAUUUGGCAGAAUAAUGUAAAAUGUUUUUAAUUACAAAAACAAUUAUAAUUCUUUCUAGAUAAUCACUUGAUUUAAAAACCAUUUUCUCCUUUCUAUAGUUUUUGUUUUUUUGUUUUUUUUUUUAAUAAUAAGAAAAACGCUCAUAAGCGUAAGUGUUUUGGACACCUCCUCUAAUUUGAGUAGUCAUAAUAACACAUUGGUAAUUCACCAUGUAGAUGUUGAUUUUAGACAAUUAGUGAACCGUUUGCCGAAGGGAGCAAGCUUUACAAUCCUAUCAGACUCAUGUCACAGUGGAGGCCUCAUUGAUAAGGAGAAGGAGCAAAUUGGACCUUCUCAUGUCACUGAAACUAGUAACAAAUCAUCAUCUAUUUCCUCCAAGUCCUCCAAGCCGAAGGCCAUUCCCUGCGAGACCAUAUUGCACCACCUCUCAUCCUUGACGGGAAUAAACACAUCCGAUAUUGCAACCCACUUGCUAGAGUUGUUUGCAGCCGACGCCAGCCUCAAGUUUCGCUUGCCUCCGCUUGAAGUCCUCGACAUGUUCGAGUCAUCUAAGCCCGAUGAAGGAAUUCUACUCAGCGGGUGUCAAGCAAAUGAGACUUCCGCGGAUGUAACGAACGCGGUUAUGACUGGUGGCAAGCCGUGUGGAGCAUUCAGCAAUGCGGUCCAAAUGGUGUUGAAGGAUCACGAGGUUGAAUUAAGCAACAAAAAGCUCGUGUUGCUUGCGCGACAAGUUUUGAAAGAACAAGGGUUUGAGCAGCACCCUUGUCUCUACUGCAAUGAUGAGAAUGCUGAUGCUACUUUCUUGUCGCAAUCUCAAGAGUAGCUCAAGCUUAUGAAACAUAUAUUGGAUAUGAUGUGAUUUGUCAAAAAAUUAAAGUGUAUUAUUAUUGUUUGAUUUUACAAAUAAAGAAGCCGCUGAUAUUGCUAUUCCUUUGGCAACUUCAGAGCUCAAGUUUAUCAGAAUCUCUGUUGCUCUGUUGUUUCUUUGUUCAGCUCAAGUUCCGUUUCCAUCGAGUUCUUCGGUAGAAUAAGUUCUUAUUUGUCGCAUCGAUAUUAAGAAAAAUCACAAAGCUUCUUACAUUCAAUAUUCAAGAAUAAAUAUUGCUAUACACAAGUAAUCUGGAAAAUGUAUCCAAAGCCAAACAAAAUUACACAAAAUGUAUGAUACCUAUAACAAUAACAAGACAGAAAGAGGACAAAUUUUGUCUAACUUUGGCUGUAAUGUUGUACACUCGACUAUCUAUUUAACAAUUUUGAAGGUACAGUAAAAUUCCUUAUCUCCUUUGGAAGUUAAGGUACUUGAUGCCGUAGGCAAAGACGAAGAAGAAGAGGAGGACCCAACCAAGAUGAGCAAUGACGACAGGGAUCAGAAAGUCGUAGUCAAAACCCAAGUAGUUUUUGAGAAAUACAUCAAUUUUUUGUGGUCCUUGAAUAGGAAUGUCGAUGUUAGUCUUCAUGUCACCAACUUGAGAUGUGAAGAUACCAUAGAUUGUCCAGGCAACGGGAGAACCCCAGUAGUACCACCUCCACCAGAUGGGAAUUAGCUGCAGUAUUGAGACUUAUAUUAGGUAUAUAGUAGUAAUAGAGAUGAUCCGUAGCAAGGUAAAUAAUAUAAAAAGAACUCGAAAUGAGAAGAACAAUUCAAAUGACAUACCGGCCUGGGAAUGAGGAAGCCCGAGAACAAGUUCCAGAAACUCAAGAAGAACGACAUAACAAUUGCAGCAAUUUGAUGGCCAGGAGUCAGGGCAACAACCAUCAUUCCGUACAUAGAGAAGUAGGUAAAGCACAUGAAGAUGAAGUAGUAGAAGUACAAAAACUUCUCCACCUUGAAAUUGUACCCGAUCAUGAAAAAUAGAAGGCAAGAAUAGACGAAGGUUUGGAUUGCAACGUAAAUUGUCUCAAUAGCCACCUAUAACACCAAUAUAUAUGUCAAUAAACAAAGAUAUGAAAUUGUAAUGACUAUACAAAAACAAGCACAUAAACGAGUGUGGCUGUCAAUAUCUUACCUGAGCAAAUGCAUAAGGCAACUCUGAAUACAUUCCGGCUGCUCUUUCACGAUAGAAGACCGUUCGUUCAACCGCAACCACAGAUUGCACAGCAGAAGCAUUGCUAGCUCCAAGGAAGAGAAUGGCAGAAUAGGUAGCUCCCAAAAGAUUGAUCAGGUCUUGUUGUUUGUGUCUGUAUAAAAGUUAAACAUUGUAUAAGCAGCAAUGCUUGCAGAAAACAUGCAACGAAUCACAUGUCAAAGAAAAUGUUGUACGAAAUAAGUAGCUGAUAAUAAAGUGCUUGAACUUACAUCUUGUCUCCUUUGCCCCAGAAGAUAACACCAAAUAAUACUCCAAUGCAGAUUGUCAUGAAAAACCUAAUGGCAUUGUAUCGUGAGUUCCUCCAGUAUGACCAGUGUUGUUUCCAGAAGCAUGCCUUGCAUUGUGUUGCAAAGCUUUGGGAGUAUUGGGUGGGGAAGUAAAGAUCGCUGGAGCCUGGUUCUGGAAUACUUAGUUCCUUGAUAAGUUCUUGAUUUCUCCUGGACAAACGAAACAAAAAGCAUGAAAAAAAAAAAUUAGCACACACAGAUGAGUGGAAGGCAACGAUGGAAAUGAACAGAAAGCACAGCUACAUGCAACUUACUUAUACAGAUCAGAAUUUGCAAAUAUUUCUGCAAAGUCCACAUCAUUCUGAGCCUCAAUGGCAGCCGAGCUGACCUCCAACAUCCAGGUAGCUGGAUUGUAACCCUCUUUGAUCUUUGCAACCCCUGGAAUAGCCUGCAAGAUGUUUUGUAUUAGUCAAACAAUUUAAGCUCAUAGAGCAAGAUGCAUUUUGGAUUGAAUGAGAUUGAUGUCUGAAUUUUUUAUUUUUUUUUAACCCAAGUGAUUCAAGUAUAAACUUACCUCAAAGUAUUCAACAAGUUUGUGAGACUGGCGACCUAGAGGACCGGCAUAAAUCACUUGUCCUCCUCUUUUCAUUAAGAAAAGCUACAAGGCAAAACGAUAUCAAGGUGACAAACUGUACAAGAAAUAAUGAAAAAUUCUAGGAAUUAAACAGAUUAAAAAAAGAUCAGUUUGUACCUCAUCAAAAGCUUCAAAAAUGUCAAUGCUAGGCUGGUGAAUUGUACAUACAACAGUUCGUCCUGUAUCCACGGUGUUUCUUACAGUACGCAUAACAAUGGCGGCUGCUCUAGCAUCAAGUCCUGAUGUCGGCUCAUCCAUGAAGAUGAUGGAAGGGUUGGCAACCAAUUCUACAGCAAUAGUGAGCCUCUUUCUCUGCUCAGUCGAAAGUCCAUCAACUCCCGGAAGUCCAACUAAAGCAUUUCUCAAUGGGUUAAGCUCGACCAAAUCCAUAACCUCAUCAACAAACAUCUGCAUAAAGGAAAGAAAAUUGAUAAUGGGAGUCAGCAUUUGUUUAUGGGAAUGAAACAAUUUAUGAAGAGAAUAAAUGCUAGAGUUGCUAAAAGUAUUUUUUUUAUGGGAAAUCAGGAACAUACCUUUCUUGUUUCGGUCUUGACAUCUUUACCAAGACGCAGCCAGGCAGAGUAUAGGAGAGACUCAUAGACAGUAACAAAUGGUGAAUGAAUAUCAUUUUGUUCACAGUAACCGCUGACCCGAGCAAAUGUGGCUUGGUUCUUUGGGUAACCAGAGAUGGUAAUACUUCCUUCAAUGUACCCACCGGUCUUUCUUCCAGCUAAGACAUCCAUCAAGGUUGUCUUUCCAGCACCACUGACACCAACUAAUGCAGUCAAAACACCAGGUCUAAAUGCACCACUGACAUCUCGUAGAAGUUGGAGUCGAGUCUCUUCAAUCCCUUGGCUCUUCAUUUCCUGGUAAAGACACAAAAAAGGUUAGCAUAAACAAAACAAAUUUGGAAAAUGAUUAAAUUCUGGCUUUGCUUGUUUAGAACCCCAAACUUCAGUAGAAAAGUACUUACGGCAGGCAUAUCCACAUAGUAAUUCACAUGGUUGAAAGCGAGUGAGAGGGGCUGGAAGGGUAAAACCAUUCCUCGUUUGGCUUGAUUAUUUCCUUGAGAAUUUCUGACUUGCAUAUCAAUACCUGUUAUCGAUCAUUAUUUAUUAGAUGAAGAAAAUAAUUGAUAGCGAAGCUACUAAUCAAGAUGUAAAGCAUACACCAUCUUUUAGAAACAAACAUCCCGGUUAGGAUCCACAAGAAGUAAUAUUUGUACCUUCUGGACUGGAUCGUCGCUUCUUAUUCCCUUCAGAGUCUUCAUCAUUCUCAAUUAGAGUUUUAGUUUCACUUAGGGCUGAAAUUGAGAAAAUAAUAAAAUAGAUAAUCAGCACUAGAGCCAUUACGGUAACAAUACCUCAUGACAGUUGAAAAUUGUUCACUUACGAUCUAAGUAGGUCAGUGCUGCCAUAAAAAGAAUAUUGAAGAGAACAGUAAAUCCGAAGAGCGCGGCAAUACAAGUCCAAUACCAAGUCUCCGUAGUAAACAGUCCUCUUUCCCUCAGAAGUACCUUUCCAACUGUGUUUUCAGAGGCAUUGAGAACAGGCUGUGCAAAGGGAUUAAAAAUAUCAUUAAGCACAACCAGUUCAAUUUAGAUAUGAAAGUGUUGUGGUAAAUAUUAAGAUAUGGUGUGAAUUAUAUAAACACUUCAGUUAACUUACAGCACUCCAUCUUUUAUCAAGAAACUCAUUGAUAGCAAUUGCAUUUUGCCCAUACAUCAUAGGUGACGCAUAGUAGCCCCAUAUCAUCCACGGCUUGAUGUCAUCUGCACAAUGAGAUGGGAUAUUGUGAACAUUUCAUAACAUGUGGAAGGAGUAUCAGUCAUCAGUGCGAUCAUUUAGAAAUCUGUAAGGUGCUGGUGUCAAAUUGGUAAAUGCACUAGCUUACUUUGACAAUGAAAUGAGAAAGAUUUCUAACCUUUAGCGACGACGAAACCUCCAAGGACAAACACCAGUAGCAACGUAAAGGAACCAAUUGUAUUCGAAACAACCUCUGUUCUUCCAAGGGCAGCAAUGAAACGGAAAAGGGAGAGUGCCAUCUGAUGUACGCCGAAGAAAGCCAAAAACUGUUUGAAGAACCUGAGCAUAUAUACAUAUGUCAGAUUAAAGAAUAAUUCAAUUGCUCUUUCGUAAUUUCUUUAGCAGCACAAAAAUAAAACUUUCGAGAAUGAUACGACUGAUAAGAUUGAAGCUUACCUACUGGCCGCUGGUGCAAACCCGAUGGUGUAGUAUGUUAGAACAAUCCAUAUCCCAGAUUCCAUCAGUGAAAUGGGAAUUCUGGUUAGCGAAAUGGGCAAGCCAAAAGCCCAGCCAGGAUAGAACAGGGCAUCCCUUUGUUUAAAGAACACAGGAAUCCUGAAAACUGUCAUUGCAAGCUCUGCCAUUCCGUUAAACAUGACGUUAAUGAGACUGAAAAACAGUGCUCCCCAGAAUUUUGCCGAAUCUUCUGCUCUUCCGGCUUUCAUUUCUGUUCUUAAGAAUACCGUCAAAGCAAUUGUAGCCAUGAUUGUUAUCUGCGUAGUUUUGAAUACGUACACGAAAGAGUUACGCUUCAUCAGCAACCAUUCCCUUGCAAAGCAUGCCUUGAAGAGCUCCAUAUUGGAUAUUCCAUACUUAUCCGUCACCAGAGCAGCAGGAUGGACUGAUCUUUUAUCAUAAGGAACUCUUAGUUCCUCCACAAGACGUUGGCCAACAUGAAAAGUGGUGAAUGCUCGAACAAAAUCGGAUACUGAAACAAAUCUGUAGGGUUGGUUCUUCUUAAACCAGUAUUGUUCUUGGUCCUUCUUAGACGUCACUUCUUGCAAGAAGUCUGCAACACCUUUUCUGUCAGGGCAUUUGAACCCCAUAUAUUCGAAGAACUCAAGCACAUUUUCACGUGGACCAUGGUACACAAUCUGACCCUCAGAAAGAAGCAUAAUGUCGUCAAACAGAUCAUACGUCUCAGGUGCAGGCUGCAAGAGAGAGAUGACCAUUGAGACUUCCAUAAUAUGAACCAUCUGCCUCAUGAACUUGACAAUCUGAAAGGUUGUGGAACUGUCCAGCCCCGUUGAUAUUUCAUCCAUGAAAAAUGCUUUCGCUGGUCCAACCAACAUUUCUCCUGCAUUCAGAAUAGACAUUGUGAAUUAGAAUACCAGGAAGUAGUUUUGUAUCUUAACUACCAUUCCUAUCAUGCGAACCAAGACUAACAACGGUUUCUUAAAAAAAAAUAAAAGCGCCAGUUGCAGAAACCACAUUGGUGCAUAAGUUUAUAGAAAAUCUUAGAAAUAUUUUAUAACUAAACAGGCAAAAAUAACACGGUUGUUAUCUUAAACACGUUCAGAUACAAAUAUAAAGCGUAACAUCAUGGAAUAACUCAAAUGACAUACAGUAACGUACCAGUAGUUACACGUUUCUUCUGUCCACCGGAUAUGCCCCUUCUCAUGUCAUCACCCACCAUAAUAUCAGCACAGAUAUCAAGUCCAAGUAUCUAUCAGAAUAAUUAAAAGACGUUAGCCUUGUACGAUAAGAAUGAUGGAACAAGAAUACAAUCUUAUGAUUGAAUCAACAAACCUUGAGAACGUAAUCUGUGAUCAAACUAGUUUCCUGGCCAACCAUAGAUGUGGCUUUCAUGAAUGCGUCGAUUUCAGGAUCGGGUUUGAUACCUGAAUCUUUCUCCCGUCUAGACAACUCUACCAGCAUAUCGUACCUGGUUCCAACUCCCAGGCAACGUCCGGAGAAAUCCAAUGUUUCACGAACUGUCAUCUCACCAUAAUGAAGAUCAUGCUGGCUAAUAUAAGCAGAAGUUCUCUGAGGCACAAAUUCGUGGAAUUCAUGGCCACAAUAGGUCACGUUCCCAGUUACCUGUUUAUAACACAUCUCGUCAAUACAUACGAAAAUGUAUAGAUGUACACGCAUUAAUCAAUUGAUAACUCUAAUAAAACGUAAUGAGAGAGAGAAGAUUACAGACCCUUAGAUCUUUAUCGAGUUUGCCAGCAAGUGCUUUUAGCAGUGUUGUUUUUCCUGACGAUGGAGGUCCAAGAAGCAGUGUCAUCCUGAAAAACAAAGCAAUAACUUAUGGAUGAAAUUUGGAAACAAAACUACUUCACAUGACCAGCAUACCAAAAGAUUAGUUUCUGUCUUCUUUCCGGAGGAACAUGAGUUUGUUUAUGAUGAUUGACUAAUUUUUUUCUCAUUGAUGCAACAAAAUGUUAAACUGGUAAACUAUGAGCAUACCUUGACGGUUUAACAAUACCGCUCACAUCUUGGAGUAUCUUGACAACUCUUUUCUUUGAUUUUGAGAGUCCAAUCAAUCCAACUAGUCCCUGUUCACAGGUACAGAUUUAGAAAUCUAAGAUCCGCUAGCGAAAUGCUCGAUUAAGAAGCAAGGUUCGGUAUUAAGAGAUGUCGAAACAAUACCUCAAGUUGGUUCAAGGUGGAAUUCAGCAGAGUUGGAAGUGCUCUGGUGCCAACAUAAGCAUCUCCUUCUAUUGACAAAUUCUGGAAUCUGACCUCAACCUUAGGAACCUCAAUUCCAACCCUGUUUCCAAAUUAAAACACAAAUUUAGCAACAAAACCAAGGAAAAACAAAUCUUUGAUUCAUCUGUUUUCAUGAUUUCAAAGUUUAUGUUUACUCAAACCCCAACUCAAAAAGAUUCAAAUAUUCGCUACUUAGUACUUCGGUCUAGUACUACUCUUCACUUGUACGCGUGAGAUUUUAGUUCGAAUCUCUGUUGAGUUCGAUAUCAAUUUAGUCCUUAACCCUUAGUGUAAAUAUAUUGUUGUAUCAAAAUAUAAAAAGUUUCAAAUUGAAAUCUUAGUUCUUUUCCUUUUCCCCAAAAUUUCAAUCCAACUCUUUUUUUUUUCCUACUGAUUUCUCACCAACCAAACAAACUACGCAGAGCAGAAGCAAAAGACAAACCUGUCGUUUCUGGCUCUGAGCCUCUGCAAGAACCUUUCAUUAUCAUCCUCCACGACCUUAAGUAUGCUCUCCAUCAACUGCUUCUUGUCUUGCGCCCCAAGAUUCGCAACGUCGACUUCUUCAGUUACAAAUCUCCCAUUGCUCAUGGCCUGUCUCAGCAUCCCCCUCCGCAUCCUAUCAUAAGUGGGCAGCCUCUCUAUGGCGGCCCACUUGAGCUCCUCCUCCUCAUCCACCGCCUGCUGCCGCCCGCUCCGCUGGAACACAUCCGGUGCGUUCCACAUUUCCCGAACACUAGUCGACCGCCAGCUCCGCCGGCUGCUCGACUGCCUGGCUACACUGGACUGCCUAGAUAGAUCAUCUCCGGCUAAAGCCGCCAUUUUUUAAACUCCCAAACCACCAAAUCACUCAAAAAUCGAGAUUUCAAGUAUUGGAUUUGACAAACACAACCAAAUCAGACGAACCCAGUUUCAGAAAAACCGAUUGAACUCCUAUGUUCGAGUUGAAAAUUGACGAUCAACAAAAGAAUGGUUUUUUGCUUUGCUUCUUGGUUUUUCGUGAAGAGUGAGAAAAUGUGAAGAGAGAGAGAGAGAGAGAGAGAAAGAGAUAUUUCUGCCAUUGAUUUGGUUCAGCAUUAUAUAGACUAACAAAGUCUGAGCAGGACAAAGAAGAAGAGUCUCCGAAAGAGAGAGAGAGAGAGAGUGAGUCGUCUCUGCCCAACUGGCUUUUGUUUUGCUUUUAUUUUUUUAUUAAUAUUUUAAUUUCUCGUGUAUGAUGGGAACCAUGGGGUGCUUAGUCAAAAUCGUACUAAUCCAUCUGUUCAUACCGCGGCUGGGUUCGGAAUUUCGGAUUACGAUUCUCCCCCUUCUUAAUUUCUUUUUUCUUUCCUCUCCUUCUAUUUAAGCCGUUACAAUUAAACCUUCUCAACAUCUUAUAUUAGUUUUUUAUAGAAAGGUAAAGACAAAGAGAAGUCAUUCAAUACUAUUGCUUGAUGAUAUUCCUCUUAACAUUGAAGUGAGAGAUCUUAGGUUCGAAUUUCGUCGAUAACGAAUUUAAUACCAAAUUAGAUUGUUUAUUAUGUGGCUUAGCUGAACUCCCCCUGCUCUUGAUGUAAAAAUAUCAACAAAAACAAAAAAUGGUCAUGUGAAUUGGACGACUACAUCUAAGAAUUUCUUCUUAUGAAAAUUUCUAAACAUAAGCAUGUUGUUGUAGUGUCAAUAAUAUCAUGUCGUAUGAAAAGAAACUUACAUAUAAUUAUACAAUUAACAGAAAACACCAUGAUGUCAUAGAAGUCUGUCCAUAACAAAAAAAAAAAUAUCUCUCUGCAUAUGGUAAGGGUGGUUUGGUCCUUGCGUACAGCUAAUCGUGUCAUAAAUAAGUCUUUCUAUAAAUUUUGACCGCUGCUGUAUUUUGGUGACCAAUUGUAGGCCGUGUUGUAAUCAAUAACAUUUCCCCUCUUAUUUUCAAGAAAAUAAAUUAAUACAAUAAAUACUCUUUCCUGUCUUUUUCUCUUCUUUUUGUUUCUUUUAUAAUAAUAUGAUUAUGAAAUGCUAUUUCUUGUGAUGGUGGGAAAAUGUUAGGAUAUUGGAUCCACGGGUAUGUACUGAUUCAGAUCGUGAGAAUAUUCUGUUAUGUUGCUGUCAAGUUUCAACGGUGACCUGCACCGUGCUUAUCAUGUCAUUAAUUACUACCUCAUUAGUAACAGAAAAUCUCUUACUUAGUGAUUACUGCCAGUUAUCCUUUUAAUAAUGUAUUUUCUAGACAUUCCAGCCAUCGCCAUUUCUUUAAUAUGGCUUAAAUCAGUAAUAUCACUAAAAUACAAAUAAAGGUUUCAAUUGUUGAAAUUCAAAGUUAAGCGUGACCGACAUGCGACAACUAAUAUCCAUUUUACUGCAAAAUAAGAAUACCUUCAGAGAGAAUGGGCCCAUUAUUGUAUAUAUGACUUUGACUCUAAUUUUAUCAAACAUCAACAUUGUAUAUUCCUCAAAAUAUUACAUUAGUUGAACUAAUCCUAACUGAUGUUUGGUUCUUGUAGUAUGAUGAAAAUAUGGUGUUAGUGAUACUUAAGUUCAAGGUCUGGAGUUCAUAGCACUCCAGACCUUAGGUUUUAGGGCUCGAGACCAAGACUAAGCAAACCAUUUCAGGGCUCCAGUCCAAAAACUUAGGUUAAUUGCUCCACCUUUGAGCUUCAUGUUCGGAGCAUGGGAGAUCAUGGUACGGAGUCAAAUAAGAUUUAACGCUUGGGGGUUUGAUGAGGUUAUUCCUUCCUAGUGCUACAAACAUGUUGAGUAUAAGAACACAAGUAAGGGUGUCGAAUCCACAGGGACUAAUUAGACCUAUAUAACCACUUGUUUUGCAAGAACCCUAACAGAAAGUAGAACUAAACAAUUUAGGCAGUUUUGAGGUUGUAACUUGAAAUACACGGAAAUGAAAUGAAUACAAGUAAAUGAAUCACAAGUAAUGUAAUGAGGUAGAACCAAGGGAGUUGAGGUUAGGGAUUGUAACAAUAUGGAGAAGGCUAGGGAUUCGAUUUCACCUUUUCUAAUCAAUUCCAUAUUGUUAAUUCAGAUUAUGCUCAUCAAUCUAUCUAUUUCUUGAGUUUGUUUCACUUAGAUAUGAUCAUCCAUAUGAUGUGUGGUUUUGAUCAAAUAUUCCUAGUCAUGAACCUAAUUGUGAUGUGCAACUUUGGUUCCUAAACAAGAAUGUAUUAAGCAUAAGAAACUUUCACAAAACCAAAGGAAACACUUGGCAUGAUGUUUGCCAAACAUUCCCUUCAAUCAUUCCCAUAUCUGCCAAGGUUAUGCAUGAUGUGUGCUCUAAGAUUGGCUAAACAACUUAUGGUUAAUUCAAAUGGUGAUCAAGCAUUAAAAAUCAACACACAAAGUCACAAUUAAAUUAGAGAAUGAAACAAGAAAUAGAUAAUGAUGAAAAAGCAUUCCAAAUUAACUACAUGGCAAUCUUUCUAGGCUACAUCGAAUCCCUAUAGAGAGAUUAGUUACACUUCAUGUUUACAAAGAUUUGACAUAUAAAAUAUAACACAUGAGUGUACAUAAAAUUGAGAAGAAAAACCCCUUGAAGCAAAACUGGAAUCGAAGAUCACUUGAGAAUGGCCUUCGGUGCUAGCUCUCCAAGUGUGGUGUAACUCCUCCAAGAAUGAUGUAUAAUGAAAUGAAAUGGUACGGUUGUGGUGAAAUGGUUGGUGUUAAUAUGGUGAAGAGGAUGGACAGAAAAUGGAGAGAGUUUGUGUGUAAGAAGAAUGAAUGAAUGUGUAAGAGAUGGAAUGGAAAUGGAGAGAAUGUGGUUGUGUGUAAGAAUGAAUAGUGUAUAUAUGGAAAUGUGUAAGAAGCUGUGUGGAUGUGGAUAGAUAGGAAUGUAGGUAGGUUAUGGAAUGUAGUGUAUAUAAUGGAAUGUAGAGUUGGUGUCCAAUUGAAGAUGGAAUUCCGAGAGUUUCAGAUUUCUUGAAGGAGCUCACUUAAAGGGAAUGGAUGGAAUAGCUUUUGGAUUCAGAUCCAAGAUUGGAUCUUAACAAUUGUAAAAUAUGGAGUGCUAGUGUGUGUAAUGAUGGGGUAAUUCCUUUCUGAAAUGGAUAGUGCACGGCAUGGGGUUGAAUGGGCAAGCAUGUGGUCAUUUAAAUGGAGGAGCAUGUGAAAUCUGCAAGGACAGGCUGUCAAGGAUUAACAAUGCACGGCAUGGGUGAAUUAGUGGGUGAAAUGUGGCUGAAUGGUGUAACUAAUGGGGGGGGUGAAUGUUCUAGGUGAAAAAAAAGGGGGUUGAAAGGGUAACCAAAUGCAUGGCAAGGUGUGUUAAACCUCCCAAUCUGAAUCCAAUGCAUGUGCCAUGCAUAAAAUCACCCAAUCUGGCCGAAUUGCACCCUUUGUCAAUUCCUGAAAUUCUAGCAACCAACUUGUCCUCAAUUCUUCACUUGGACUUCAAGUUAACUCACAAGAUGUUCUCCAUGCUUGAACUAGCUCUCGGUCACAAAAUGUGGUGUUUUUGCUUCAUUGCCUUCCAAUUGAUCCUAAAACAAACUUAACUACACACUAACACCAAAUAAUGUAAAAUGCAACAAGUUUGAUCAAAAACAUCACAAAGACACAAAAUAUGAAUGCUAUAAAUGCAUAUGAAAUGUGAACUAACAGGGUUCAAUAUGAAGUUUGAAGGAUAAUAAUCGAGGUACCAUUAAGGAUUCAUAGUAAAGAGAGUUCUUGACUACUGACCUUUCAAAGGCUUCAAUGACAUUUUCUUAACCGGCAUUAAAGCAUCUUGAAAUGCUUUUUUGACGAAACUCUAAGCUAUGAAUGAGUUGAUGAAAAAGAGUUACAUGCCUUGAAUUUUCCGACUUAACAACCGAUAAAGAAAAUAUGUUAUAUAACUGGAAAUAUAUGUCAUUGCUUCUACUACACUCAUCAAGGGACCAUCUCAUUCUCUACCACAUUGACGAAGCCAGUUGUUGCCCAGCCACAAGAAUUUGAUAUGCAUGCAUACGUAAUAGGUCUUAUUAGCUUUUGUUUUACCUACUUUUUCUUUACUUGCUAGUCUUUUACCAAAUGAUCGUGUGAUUCUAAUUACUGUUUAUCGCCUUUCGAUAUCAUAUGCGGUCAGCCACUUUAAAAUACUAAAAGCCAAGAACUCUAUAUAUAUAAAUACAUAAAAAAAGGUUAUAUAGUAAUUUCUCUCUCUCUCUCUCUCUCUUUUAUGCGUCACCUAUAGUAAAUGAGUUUACUUACAUUGCUAGUAAUUUUCUUACUUACUUUUUUAUUUUAAUUUUUUCACUUCUAUGUAUACCAUAUGUAUUCCACAAGCAUGCAAAAUUAAAUUUUUAAUUAUACUAACAAUGGAAGAAAAAUAGUGGGAUUUUAAUUAAUUAAAAUGGAGUGUUACUAUGUUUACUUCAUAGUCUUAUUUCCCCACUGACGUUAUAUUUUCACCCACCAUAACAAAAUUUUAAAAACUAAACACUCUCUUCCCAUCCACUUGUAAUCCUAAAAUAUCCUAAACAGUUUUAAGUUCUAAAUAAAACAAAUAUAAAUAAAGAAUUAUUGUAACUUGGAAAUUUUAGAAAAGUGGAAUAACCACGGAAAGUCCCCGCCAACCCAGCCAAAAGCAAACCACAACCAGGCACCACAUGUGACAACUUUAGCUCAUUUUCUCUUUGUUGCUGGGAAAGUUACCUUCCUUUUUUUCUCCUCCUUUCUCUAUUCCUCUCUAUCUCUUUCUUGCUCCCCUUACCAGAUAUAAAUUUAAGAUUCAUAUUCAUACUUAUUCCUAAAUUAAGGGUUGAAAAGUAAGGAGAAAAGAAGAGAUAAAAUUUGGGGUGAGUGGGGAGGACGGAAGAUAUAGAAGAUGGAGGGGAUCUGAAGAGUUAAAAAGGGGAGAGGGAUGAAGAGAUAAAAUGGGGAUGUUUGAUUCGUUUGUCAUUUUAAGUUUUUAAUUUUUUCUAUUCCUAUUUUUCUUUGACUACAAAGAGUAUAUAAGAUGAUUAAUUUUAACAAGGCUUUUGAAGUCUUCACUUAAACGAGCUCUUAGUCUGUUUUAAAAGUUGGCUUCAAAGCCCUUACUAAAUUGGAUAGGGGUAGCGGCAUAUCAUACAAAAUAUGUAACCUAUACCAUCAUUCAUAGAGCUAGCGGUAGAUUAUUUAGAACUCGUGCUUUCAUUAUGGAUUAACUAGCACAAGUAUCAGGGGUGAAAGAAAAAAGAUGAUGAUGCGGUGGUAUAUCAACACUCUUAAAAUUUUAGUUUUGUUUGUACCAUAUGUAGGGCCUCCGUAUUUAGAUCUCGUAUAAAUUCUCGGGAGACUUAAAUAUAAUUAUGUAAUAAAGGAAGGGGCAAAUAUGUAAUAAGUGAGGAGCCCUUAUUCUAUAAAAAGACCCCUCACUCUCCUCAUUGAGAUAGGCCAAUUCUUAGGCCUGAGAUCCCCAAACUCCCUCACAUUCAGAGAACCUCAUUCUCACAUUACAGAGGCUCUCUCCAUCACAAUCUUCUCAGAGAAAUACAAUAAUUAGUGUGGAUGUAGCCCAAACAUUGGGGUGAACCAUGAUACAUCUUGUGUUAUUUGCUUUCUUGCAGAUUCACGGUCGGAUUUACGUUGUUCCAAGACAUCCGGUUUUGUGCAUCAAUAUUUGGCGCCGUUUGUGGGAAUCGACACGAAAAGUUAUGUCGAUUCUCUCUCAAAUUUUCACCUCCUUCGUGGAUCUGUAAAACCCAAGAGACAACCAAAACUCUCUCUGCCAUCAAAAAGCAUCGCCUCUUCUUCAGCCCCCGUCAUCCCUCUCGCCUGCCAUCACCCAUAUCUUUCAGAGAGAUCAGAACAAGGAUUUUUAGAGAGAUCAUAACCUUUAGCUUCACAAGAGAGGCCACAACCUUCCAUGCUGAAGCAAAGGAACAGCAAGGAUCAGAGCAGUUUUGGUUGCCUACAGAAGACGACACAACCUUAACUCUCCAACUACCCAAAAACCCACUUCGUUUUCCCUUUUCUAGUGAGAGAAAGAAACAGAGAGAAAAACCAGAAGAGAGAGAUAGCAGUUUCCGCCAUUAAUGUUUCUCGGCAACAAAGCGUGAGCACUCUCACACUCUUAACGCUCUCACUUGUCGCAAAGCAUUCAAUUAAUCACAAAAUACAGCUGAGCAUGGGAACCUUAGAGAUCUUCACGAAUCUGGAGUAGAAGUGGCUCUCGUCAUCUUCCUCCCUCACUAUAUCGACUUCCCCAUCAACUCCGUCCAUCUUGCUCCAACCUCAGCCGCCGCGUCCUUCUCUUGAUCCCCUACGUCUCGUCCCCGAUGGACACCAUCACGGAGUCCCACAUGGCUCCCCCUAAAUCAUCCAUGCUGCCAAUCCCUACGUCCUGGUUACCAAGAGUGGCAGCCCCAGUCCGAAGACCUCGAGGACAAUCUCUCACUCUCUCACACUUGUUUAUCUCCCGAGGGUCAAAAUCUACUGCAUCAAUUCUCCUAAUUGUUAAUCUUGUUCUGUAUUUCAUUGUGAUUGUCAUUGCUUCUUGGGCUAUCAACCAUGGAAUCCAAAGGUCACGCGAAACCGCAUCUGGGUUGUCGAUUCUUGCCCGGAUAUUUCCAAUAUAUUUUCCGUUUGGGAAUACGGCUAUUGGAUUCUUUGUGAUCUUCUUUCUUCUUCAGCUCAAAUGGGUUCUCAGAUUUGCAGCUGUUGAAGCGAAGUACGAGUGCAAAUUCAGAGUUUGAGAGCUCAAUCGAGGGGGUAAUUGCUCAUUGCAAACAGUCUCAACAGCUAUUAAAUUCAAGAAAGUAGUUUGUGGGGGUGAAGAUAUCUCACCAGGGUUCAUCUAAUAAAUCCUAUGAAAGACGCACACAUGAAUAAAAGGGAAGAGUAUUGAGGACCGAAGCAUAAACUUGGUGCUGGUGGUCGUCUUCAAGCUUCAGCUUGCUGCAAGCAUUUCGCAGUGUACCCUUCUCCCCAGGUUUCUACAUCUGUUGUGUAGCCUUACAACAGUGUUCUCUCAACCCAUUCUCUGUGAAAGCACAUGGGAAAGCAAAAGCAAAGCAGAAAAGAUGCAGAGGAAAGGCAAAAGCAAUCAAGUGAGCUGCGGGAAACAAAAGCAAAAGCAAGGAAUAAAAAGAGAAAGGAAAAGAUUAUACUUUUUCUUUUGUCGACCACCAAAGCAGAAGAUGCCAUCAACUUUUGAAAAAGAAAACUUUCAUCAUGCAUGUUCUCACUUUUCUGAAGAGCCACUGGAAUACGCACAUGGAAAAAGAUCUGCAACAACCCAGUAUGCAGUAGGUGUAGUACGCACCAACAAUUUGCAACUGUCGAAACCUUUGUUUUGAAUGAUGUAAUUUAUUUUUCAUAUGUUUCGAAGACAUCUGUAUAACCUCAUCAGACGGUAAUCAUAAAAUAAAAAAAUAAAAAAAUAAAAAUAAACGGCAAGCCCAAAAUAAUGGGCUGAAAUGUUAUGUGGAGAGCGAAUGCCCCUAUGCCCAAAAGAGCCAGGCCUUCUAUUAUCACCAACCAGGUGAUCAAAAGUACGUCAAAUACUACAAAAAAUUAUUCGGCAGCCUGCCGCUAUUACCACCAACCAGGUGAUCAAAAAUACGCUCAGUACUCCAAAAUUAUUCGGCAACCUGCCGCUAUUAUCAUCAACCAGGUGAUUAAAAGUACGCCCAGUACUUCCAAAAUUAUUCGGCAACCUACCACUAUUAUCACUAACCAGAUGAUCAAAAGUACGUCUAGUACUUCCAAAAUUAUUCGGCGGCCUGCCGCUAUUAUCACCAACCAGAUGAUCAAAAGUACGUCCAGUACUCCCAAAAUUAUUCGGCAGGCUGUCGCUAUUAUCACCAACUAGGUGAUCAAAAGUACGUCCAGUAGUCCAAAAUUAUACAUGAGCAUCACUCAUGUCAAUCAUACAUAAACAUUCAUGAGCAUCACUCAUGUCAAUCAUAUAUAAACAUUCAUGACCAUCAUUCAUGUCAACAUUCAUGAGCAUCACUCAUGUCAACAUCCAUGAGCAUCACUCAUGUCAAUCAACAUAAACAUUCAUGAGCAUCACUCAUGUCAAUCUAGUUUCGAAAGCUUCAUUUACAGAGCUCUAGCUUCGAAAAGCUUCAUUUACAGAGCUCUAGCUUCAAAAGCUUUAUUUACAAAAGCUCCAGCUUCGAAAGCUUCAUUUACAGAGCUCUAGCUUCAAAGCUUCACUUGCAAAGCUUCACCUACAAAGCUUCAGUACAAGGUAUACAAAUACCACAUCCGAACAACUGCCACUUCGGCCCAUACAUGGAUUCAAUUUAAAGUCUCCAGCCAACAUACUCUAUUGACUGAAGACUUGGGGGACUACAUUAUGUACCAUAUAUUGGGCCUCAACUGGGCCUCAUGAAAAAUACUCGGGGGACUUAACGCAUUAUUCAUGUAUUGAGGAGUGGGCCCUUAUUUUAUAAAAGGGACUCCCUCACUUUCAUUAGAGAGCACGCAUUAUUCAUGUACUGAGGAGCGAGCCCUUAUUUUAUAAAAGGGACUCCCUCACCUUCAUUAGAGAGCAUCGCCGCCAGCUGAGCAACCGCCUUACCACGAGCAUCGACUCUAGCCCAUCAUUUAUGUAUUGAGGAGCGAACCCUUAUUCUAUAAAAGGGACUCCCUCACCAUCAACGCCAUAAGCCGAGCCAACCAAGGAAACAUAAGCCACAAGCAGAGCAGCCUCGCAACAUGAGCUACUUCUAGUUGAGCAUCAUUUCACUUUGAGCACCGCCUUAUAUCAAGUAUCAGUUCAAGAUGACAUCUAAUUACUUCGGCCCACACAUGGGCUGAAUUUCAAGUCUCUAACCAAAAGACUCUCUUGACUGAAGACUUGAGGAACUACUGUAUGUACCAUUUUUAGGGCCUCCGUAUUUAGAUCUCGUAUAAAUACUCGGGAGACUUAAAUGUAAUUAUGUAAUAAAGGAAGGGGCAAAUAUGUAAUAAGUGAUGAGCCUUUAUUCUAUAAAAUGACCCCUCACUCUCCUCAUUAGGAGAGGCCAAUUCUUAGGCAUGAGAUCCCCAAACUCCCUCACCUUCAGAGAGCCUCAUUCUCACAUUACAGAGGCUCUCUCCCUCACAAUAUUCUCAGAGAAAUACAAUAAUCAGUGUGGACGUAGCCCAAACAUUGGGGUGAACCACGAUACAUCUUGUGUUAUUUGCUUUCUUGCAGAUUUACGGUCGGAUUUACGUUGUUCCAAGACCUUCGGUUUUGUGCAUCAACAAGUUUUAAGUGCAAGUGAAGUACACAUGACAUGUGAAGAGUUGAGAAAGUUGAAAUGAGAAAGUUGCUAGUAUUUCCCAACUUACAUUUGCUACAUUUUAUAAUCACAUUUGUAUCAUUUUUUCUGAUUAUAGCUCAACAAUAUAAGUAUAUCUCACAUCUAUUAAAGAGUUGUUAUAUAAGUGAUAUAAAUGUGAUAAAUGUAACAUUUUAAAUUGUAAAUAGAGUGAUCUCAGUGGUGGACUAUGGAAAUUCGAGUGAGAAGGAGCACCUAAGAAACUCAAAUUCCUUUUUUUAGGACAAAUGACAAGAACAAAACUUUCAGUAUUCCCUAAUUUGGUAACACAUUCAUACUAACAAAAUAAAUCUUAAGAGGAAUUUUGACAUCAUGAUGAAAGAGAAAAAGAGAAGUAUAUGGGUCACUUCAUUAUCUUUUACAUAAUUUUAUAAUAUGUGUUCAAGUUUUAUAUAAUAAAAAGGAAAAUUAAUGAAAAAUAAUUGAAAACUUUGAGUUUUAACGAUAAGGACAAAAUAAAAGAUAAAGUGAAUAGUACCAUGAUUGAAUUUUUAGUGUUAAAAUGUGGUUUCUUUAAAGUAAACAAUACCAGGAGUUUUUUGUUAAAGUUCCCUAAAAAAAAUGUUUAAGAGGAAGUACUUCCCCUCAUUCCUCUUACAAACCAAUCACAAUUCCAUAGGUGUGUGUAUAAUAUUGUGUAUAAGCUCUCAUUUAGUACUAUGGUUUAGUGAUAUUCUUCUUCACUUGUAAGUGAGAGGUCUUAGGUUCAAUUCUCGCUAAAGACAAAUUUAAAUCACAUUAUUGCUAGUCCAUUGUGAGGCUAAGCCCAUCCCUCCCUCUUAGUGUAGAUAAUAUCGUAUGUUUAAAAAAAAUGGGUAUAAGCCAAAAGUCGUACGUUUAUGCAAAUGUCCCGGUCUUUGUUAUUUAUUUGUAAUUAAGAACGACUUCUUUAACGGUAAGGAGCCAACUAGUAAAAAGAAAUGAAAGUAUCAUUUUAGUAAAGUCACGAAGAAAAUACCAAAACUUCAUACUUAAGACCAUCUCCAAUGGAGAGGACUAAAAGUCCAAAAUCCCAAAAAUGCUCUGAUUUGCUUAAAAACUUAACUCCAAUCGAUGGUUGGACUAUAGUUCUGUGGAGCCUACCAGAGCAUUAUUUGACCAAAGGAGCAUCAAAAUGACCAAAUGUAGCCCCCAUCUUAACCUCUUUUUGAAGCUGAACUCUUUAGUUGCAAUAAUUGAUUCAAAUUUAAUGGUUAAAUUUGAAAACAUCCAAAUAGUUUAAUUAAAUUAACCAAUAAAUUUGAAGUAUGAACUUAAAACUAAUAAAUUAUUAAGGGAGCUAUGUUUAGCCCAUUCGGUUGAAGAUGAUAUAUGAGUAUGACAUAUGAGUAUGACAUGAUCCUGGUCAUUUAAUUUUUUUUUAAUUUUUUUGGAGAGCUUUAAUUUUGGACAGAAUGGUAUUUAGCCAUUUUAAUUGGAGAUGGAAUAAUAUUUUACAGCAAGAACAAUAUUAAUCCUAAUUACCAUGUACCAUGUAAAAAACAAGUAGACAAAAAGUCAUCCACCGUUCAUAUAUAUUUUCCUCUUGGAUUUGAACGAAUGAAAGGGAACUGGAUUCCCUUCUGAGCUUAGGAGCCUCCUAAGCAAAUAAUAUGAGUCGUUGAAAUUUGAUCUAACGGCUACAAACAGAGGAUCUCAUUAAAAGUUAUAAUAAUUACAGCUGUUUGAUCAAAUUUUAAUGGUCCAGAUAUUUUGCUCAGGAAGCUCAACCUCCUAAGCUCAGGAGAGAAUCCGGUUCUGAAAGAAAGGAAGGUGGCCAGCUAGAUAAAGUUUCAACGCCUUCUAGAAAGAAGGGAAGGAAGGAGAGCUGGCAUUGGCAAUGGCAAGGGAGAAGAAUACCUAGAUUUCAACAGCCACUUGUGCAUGGGGUCCUUUUGUCCACAUUGUCUUGACAAAUACAAAAAUAAUUCAAUUAUAUCAAUAAACAAACAAACAAAUGGACGAAUCCAAGGCUGCGUGAAUGGCUUGAUUGAGAGAGGAUUCUUGUCGGAUUCUUUUAGUGAGGAUCUUGAUGAUUUUUAAAUCUUAUUCGUUCAUAGUACAUUGUACGGUCAUAAAUCAUUGUAAAUUUUUUUAUUUAAAAUUGAAUAUAAAUAAUAUCUGACGAAAACUGGUAACACGAUGUAUGAUGAACAUAUAUGAUUUGAGGAUCCUGGGAUCGAGGAUCCUCACUCAGCUUGAUUAAUUAACACAUCUUAAUCAAAUUAUUUGUGGGCCCUAAUCCUUCCUUCUUAUCCCUUAGGAAAAUAAGAUCAUUUCGAACCGAUCCGGCCAAAUGGUUAUAUGCCAAAAUAUAACCCGUUUUGACACGAAAAUUGUCUCUAACCAAGAAUUAAGCCAAAAAACUUGUGGACCCCACCCGACCACAAAUAAGACACCAAGCCAACGUGUUGGUCGAAAUGAACCAACCAACCAGCCCGAUGCAGCAGCCCAACCAGCGCCUUCUGGUCCCAUAAACCAGACAAGUUCCAUACUUGAUCACAUGUGGAUUGAAAGAAACAAUAUUGCAGCAGAAUCUCUUCUUAAGUGAUGCAUCAACUUAAUUAAUUAAAGCAGCUUUAGCAAAAAGUUAAUUACUUAUCUCUUCCUUUCGUACACAAAAUAAACAUUUUAAUUGCAUAUUUUGCAACUAAUCCCAUUCCCGGUAUUGACUAUUAAAAUUUCAUAAUAAUAUUUAUAUAAUUUUCUUCGAUUAUGUACUUUUUUUGGUAUAUUAUCUUAUGUAGUUUUGCAAAAAGAACCAUGCAUGUGGACAUACUAAUAAUUAAACCUUAAUUUGGGCUUAAAAAAAAUAAUAAUACAACCAGGACGCAUACAAGAGCCAAAUAUCGUUGGGGUUGGUCCAGUGGAAUGUUGCAUAUAUACGUAAUUAUAUUUAAUUUAUUUGAUAAAUCUAACAUUAAACUAUUUAGUGACGUUGAUUUAGGUACAACCUUUUUUAUUAUUAGUUGGUUAUUGUUCGUAGGUUCUUUUCGUUAUAGAACAUAUUAAAAAAUGUGAACUUUAACGAAAAACUCAUGUACUAUUCACUUUAACGAAAAAUCAUAUUUUUACACUAAGAAGUCAAUCAUGGUACUAUUCACUUUCCCCUUUAUUUUGUUGUUUUCGUUAAAACUCAAAGUUUUCAAAUCAUUUUCAUUAGUUUUCCUUUUAAAAAAUAGCCCCAUUCGGUUGGAGAUGAGUUUUUUUUUUGUCAAAGAGUUAUGUUUUGGCCUAUGGCCCUUUGACCCUUCGGUUGUAAAUGGUAUAAAAUACGGUCUGACGUUGUUCAUUAAAAAAUAAUUUCUUGCAGAACUUUAUGGCUAAACAUGACCAUUUGGCUCUCUUUCGAUUGGAGAUGGCCUAAGAUUCGUCCAGCAACUUGUUACCCUUAGUUGGUACCGUAUUUGUCCAGGUGCAGAUUUUCCCUGCAGCUUGCUUUGUUUUCAAGUUGCAAGUGGUGGCUUCAACGUUCCCCAUUCAAAUAUGGCAUGCAUGCACGGGUUUUAGGGACAGAGACUGUUUGAGAGCAUUAAUCUCACAUUGAGAAAAGAAGAAAUAUUAUACGUGCUUAAAGAUAAUUAGAUUAUUUUUCAUGUUGCCAAUUUAUUUAUGGUGAAGCUUUAACUUCUUUAAGAAUGUCAUAUUUAAAAAAAAAUACAUGUUAAUUAAAAAUGUGAUUGCCACUCUAAAUAUAUUUUCUCUCGUACAUUUUAUCUGUUUGUAAUACAAAAUAAUAUUUAGUAUUUAGAAUAUAUAACUGGUAUGAAACAGUGUUUGCAUUCACAUGCAUGCAUGGUUGAAGUCCCCGCAAGUCCAAAUCUCUAGAUAUAGUCAAAUCCACGUUUUUCGUACUGUUAAAUACUGCUAAAUAAUUAAUUUUUUUUUAACUCAAAUAAUUAAAUUAUUAUUUAUUUAAGUUAAGGUAUCCACAUAUUUUUUUGGGGGUCAAAAUAUGUUGUUAAAGAACUGAAAAAGUUAGGAAAUGCAUGGCCGUCAAAGUUGAGUCCAAGGCCGUUCCGACUGAUGAUGUUUGACAGUCACACGCAAAAUUUAGCUUGGUCCCAAUCCGACGACUCUGCUAUCUAUAGUUUGGGGUGACUAUUUCUUUGUUAUCAUGCGUUCACGUACGCGUUCGUGGUCAACAUUAGUUAACCACCACUAUGCUAAUCAUGCUGUGUACCGACAAAUAUUGCUUUUAUGAGAGGGGAAUUAACUUGCAUGUUUUAUUUAUUUAUUAAAAAAAACUUAAAAUACUAAAAUUUUUUUUAGUACAAGCGAUAUUUAUACCUCAAACUAUACUCAAAGGAGUGGGAGAACUUGGACGUGGAACACCUUGUGUUGGACUUGCUCCCCCGUACCAUCCCAAUGUGAUUAAGAUCAAUCUGAAGCCUAGACGUUUCGAGCUUUGUCUUGAUCAAAUGCAUCAGAGGCGCCAAAGGCAUGAGGGAAGGCUUGAAAAACUGUCAGAAUGGUCUGUGUUGGGAUGCAAAGACGAUGGUUUUUAGAUUCGGCAAACAUGAAAAUGUGUCCCACACUUGAAGAAGUACAUCAAAUUUCGGAAAUUAUUUCUAAUUCAAAAUUUAUAAUGCUUGUUCGUGUUGAUUAUAGUUAAACCUAUAAUUAUACAAGAGUUCAAAGUAAAAGCAUUUAGAAAAAAAUAAAUUAAAAAAUAAGUCAAACUUUUUAAGUUAUGACACAAAAUAAAAUAAAGUCACUUUCACGAUUUACAAAUUUGUCGUGUCAAAUUCUCAAACAUUGCUAGCUUACUUGUGUAUGACAUAACAAAUUCUACACGUUUAUUAUUUACGCUAGAAAAAUUCUUAUGUAAACAUUCAUGUCAAAUAUAUAGUUAAUCCAAAUCCAAUAUAUUCAUUCAUGUAAUGUACAAUCGAGUCGCUUUUAUUUUACAAUUUGUACAAGGAAGAAUGCAAAUGGACAAUCUUCAACACGAUUAGUGUAUUCCCCACACCCCCUUUCCGUAUCAGUGACAGAUCGUUUUUACAUCCUCUGCAAAAAUGUUGAAUAAAAAUUCAGGGACAAUACCCUUUUGAACGAGUAGGACACAACUGCAUGUGUAGCCUUGUUAAUCCGACUAAAUAAAGCAUCACGUGCUACUAUUAAAUAUUAUUCACUGACCAUAAUUGAAACUGUAAUGGAUUUAUCGCUUAUGAUAGGAAGAACCAGGUCAUCAUGUAAUAAUUCAGUUAUAUUAUAAUAAUUAAUAUAAUUCAAGUUGAUACAUAGGUAAUACUAAAAAUCAGUUUUAAAUAAUUCAUUACCUGUCAAUGGGUCACAUGUCAUAUAUAUGAUUUGUAUAUUCAACUACAGAGAAUCUAUAAUUUCUUAUUAGCCUCGUUACACACGCAUGAUACGGUUUUAAUUUGCAUGUGUUUAAUCUCGCAUCGCAAAGCCGACAAUCUUCACCACCAAAAGUAUCGCAACAACAUGGUUGCUACCUAACUAUCUUCAAUCAAACCAAUACAAAACGAUCAGCCUCUAUAUCAUAAAAUAUUUGUAAACGGAAAGAUGUAUUAGAGCAUCUCUACCUGUUAGUAAAGGGCAAAGGUGCAGUUUAUUUUAGUACAACGAUAUAUUUUACGUCAAGAGAUAGGAAGUUCGACUAAGCCACACAAUGGACAACCUAAUUUGGUAUAGAAUUCGUUAUCCAUGAGAUUCGAACCUAUGACCUCUCACUUAUAAGUGAAGAGGAAUACCACCAGACCGAAGUAUUGAGUGGCAUGAAAUUGCACUUACCAUCACUCUAAACAGUAAUUAUCUUUGUGCAAGUCCAUUUGUAAGGAAGGAGAAAGGGCAAGGACAAGAAUGAAUACUACUCAAAAAUGUAUAUUUGUUUAUGUUUUAUACCUUGUGUACUUAGUAAGUUUGUUUUUUGAAGAAGAUGGUUGAACUUUUUAAGUUUCUCAAGUGUACCUAAUUUUAAGUGCGUUGUUAAAAAACAUUUGUAUUUUUUUCAAAUUUUAUGGUAUUUUUUUAUUUUCUUUUUGUAUCUUCAAUUUUUUUAACGUUGAAAAUCCAACAGUCCAGAUGAAAGGACUGUUGGAAAUCCAACGGUUUGCAAGCAUUACAAUUGUGAUGUCAUGUGGGUGGGCUGGGGUGGGCUAUCACAUGGGUGGGGCCCUCCCUCACCCCCGUGCUGAUUGAAAAGGCCGCAAGGUCGUGUAAUUGUUGCAAGGGCACAAGCCCUUGCCCCAUUUGCCUCUCCAAUUUUAAGACCGGUGGAGGAGGUUUUUCUGGGUUGGAGGCAGUUUAACCCAAUUGCAAGAGCAAUAAAGAGACUGGUGGAGAUGCUCUUAUCUUAUACAGCCACAUUUAACCAUGUACAUUAAUGCUAAAGCUAAGCGACCCACUUAAUUAUUGUCAAAUGAUAAUUAAAGCCAUGGUGAUCGGUAUCAAAAUUUUCUACCUGUUUCGGGUUUUGAACCAAAUGACAAGGGAAAGUUAAACUAACUCUUAGCCUUGUUUAGUAUAGAGAUUGUAUUGAAAUCGAUAAUUCUCUAAAUUCAAGGUAUUUUGAAAGUAAAAGAUAAUGAUUUUUCUUUUGAAGGGGAUUAAAAAAGGAUUAGACAUGAAGUAAACUUGUCACUUCUAAUUCUCCCAUUUUGGAGAGGAUGAGUAAUUCAUCUCAUACCUCUAACCUUGCCACAAAAUUGUCAUUUCUUCUUUUGGCGUAACUUAAAUAUAAUGAAAUAUCAAUCCCAAAUCCAAUCCUCAAUAUCAAAUCAGCCCUUAAAAUAAAUCUAGUAAGAAUGGAUUGGGAAUUAACUUAAAAUCGUGUUUUUAAUUAAGGUUCACUUCUUAGUAAGGGAUGACAAUAAUACGCACAUGAUUGUUAAUCCAAGUUUCAACUGAAUUUUUUUUAUUUGUUCUUGAAAUUAGAGUACUUGUUUGAAUUAUAAGUUUACAUUCAUGUCAGGUGUUGACAGUGUGGUAAUGAACAGACACAUGAGAAAGGGAUAUACUAAGAAACUCUUACAGAUCAAUGAGCAAUAUUCAAUAUUAUUAAUCUAAAAGUACACUUAAACUCUAAAAUAUAUUGUGCUUAAGUAGAUAACUUAGAGCCCUAUAGAGUACUUAAUUUAUAAUUAAUCAUUUAUAGAAAAUAAAAUAAAUAACAUAAUUUUUAUACAGUAAAACCUUUCUAUAGUGAUACGAUCUAUAAAGGAAUAAUCUUUAUGUAAUAAUAAAAAAUUCCUGUUCAAACGUAGAUCAAUUACAUGCUUAUAAAAGAAGAAUAAACUUCAUAUUAUAAUAAGUUAUAAUUGUUAUAAGUCCCGCCUUAAUAAAACUUGCCUUUGCAUAGUAACUAAUAAUCAUCAAUAAAUAAAUAAAUAAAUAAAUAAAUAAUGCAAAGUCACAUAUUGAUUGCAAAUUGAAUUGGUUGUAUUGUAUGUAUUUAUAAAAUUCACUUAGGGUUAUUGCACUAAUAGCUACUAAUAUGUGCACAAUUUUCAAUUGGUCCCUAUAGGGAUAUUGGACUUGUGAUGGGCUCCAUUUUCAGCGCAAAGCAGCCGAAUAUUUUGAUGGUUUUCAAUUGUUGGCUAAUGAACAAUAUUUGGAGAGGGUGGUCGUCGAUCAGAGAGAGGGAUAGUAUAGUUUUUGGUUUGUUGCUACCCAAUAUUGGAACCCAUGCCUCAAUAGUCAUUUCAUGAUAGUGAAAUAUUUUUUUUUUUCAAAUUAAAAUUUUGAUCAGGGGUAUAUAUAUCCAAUAGAUUGGGGAAUGACAAUAUCGAUGAGAAAACCUUACGAAAUAGUGAAGCUCUUUCUCAUUCAAAAAGGAAAAGUUCCCCUAGCCUUCUCAUUCAUUCUUUAUCCUUCUAAAAUUCAACUUUACUAUUGUUACAUGUGCCAAUACAUAGUUUAAAUUUUCUAUUUUUCAUUAUGACGAGCACAUAUGUCCUAAAAGCAACAUAUAGAAAAGUCAAAACAGCAUACAUCAUAUGUGUGCAAUUGAGCUAGAACUCCUCCAUACGACAUGGGGUCUAUAUGAGUUUCAUUGCGGAAGCUAGGAUUUUUCAAUUAUCCUGAAAUCAAGCAAUACUUCUUCAAAAAUUCUAACCCUAACGAGACGCAUGCAGCUCGAUCUAUCUCUCCAGUACAAAUUCAUCUUUCUUCACGAAGUAAGAGUUAAGGUACGCACCUAGUUUUUUCGUUCUAAACCCUAUAUGUGUAUAUAUAGCUAACCUAUGCAACUCUUUGCUUUUUGGAAAUUUUGAAGCUUUUUGAUGACUUGUUGAUUGUCAGAGAGCCGGCUGUUGGCAAACACCAAGCUAGCUGAUGCAUGCAUGCAUGCCUACUUUCUUUGAUACUCUCUUUUUUGGGGCCGGCCGAUUAUAGCUUUUUUAAGCUUUUACGAAAUUUCCACUCCAACGUUUAUUUGAUAGUUCUAUCAGCAGAUCGAUUGCUAAUCCUCAGUUCUCAGAACUUGGUUUAUUAUAUACAACACAUUCUCACUUGAACUCUUUAUGUUUUGAUUAGAUGUAUGCAUGCCCGUAAUUAACUCUUUACGUUCUGAUCAGAUGCAUGUUCAUAAUCCAAUGACUAUUAGGUCUACACAAUUAAUUUAAAAAUUGUUUGGAAUAUAAAUAAGAUUAAAAUUUAGUUAAUAGCCAUAGCUUGUACCCCAAGUAAAGUUAAUAUAUUCCGGAUUUCCUUGGAGAAUAAGGGCUCCUAAUUCUUUCCUAUUUGGGAUGAGAUUUGGUGUAUCAAUUAUCCUUGGACUGCAAGGAAUCCUAAUAACAUUAUUAUGGGAAGAUUCAUUAGGGUUAAGUCCAUAUAAAUACAAGGGUAAUGUCUCUGCUCACAAUACACAUAAACCCAUAUGAAUGCCCCAUUAGUUCGAGUUUAAAGGAGUGUUGGGUGUGCAGAAGGCUUUGGUCAACCAACAAAUUAUUCCGCAAGAUUCCAAUAUGAUUUCCACUGUAGGAGAAGUCCGUUCAUGGUUUAGCCUAUUUCACACAGUUCUGUCAAGAUGAUUUGUCUUUACCAUCCAUGCAUGGAUUCUUUCAAGUUAGUGUUUUUAGUUGUUUAUGAAAUGUAUAAAGUCUAACAAUGCAUGCAUGCCCAUAAUUAGAUCUGCGACGUUUUUAGAAUUAUCAUGCAUAUUGCCGUAACAAGGUCUAACACAAUGGUAUGUCACGGACAUUGUUUUAUUCCACAUUUAAGUAUUCAUCAUUUGCAUCCUCCGAAUUCUUUAAUCUACGUACUGUAAUAAUUCUAUUGCUCGAUUUGCAUAGAAAAUUUAAGAGUAUUAAGAAUUGUAAUAUAAUAUUAGGUUUUAAAGUUCUAAAAUUUGUAAAACAAAAUUUCUUGGAUGACUUAUCACGGGCUACACAUUGUCUUGUAUUAAAAUGUGUUAUAUAUUUUGUUAAUUUCACAAAUAAAUUAGGUCGAGACAGUGAUGCCAACAAAGUCCACAAGUCACGGAUAAGGUAACACCUUAUGCAGAUAUUUUAUAUGAAAAGUUGGCCGACCGAUUCUUUUGUUUGAUUGCUUUCCAAGGACCAAUUAUUUAAUUUUGUGGUCAAACUUGGCGUUAAAAUUUAAUGGCGACUUCCUAUUCCUAACAGAAACAGAAGCUUCCAAGAAAUAAGUAAGGGACAAAGAAAAAUUAAAGAAUAAAACAUGAAAGCCGCCGGUAUAGAAAAGACUACAAAAAUGUUAUUUUAUUCCUCUGCUCUAUUAAUGUACAAUAAUCAUUAAUUUGAGUAUGAUUAAACUUGCUUUAUCUAGUUGGGUGAAUUGUAAAUUAAGGAACCAAGAGAGAGAGAGAUAUAUAUAUAUAUAUAUAUAUAUAUAUAUAUAUAUAUUUUUUGAUGAUUAAGAAUGAUUGUGAUGAUUAAGAAACCAACAACAUGGAAAAAUUAGUGACUAGAAUGAUGAUUAAGUGUUGGAUAAGAGGAACAAACUAAUGACUCAUUUAGAUGUGCUUUUAAAAUGGUUAAAAACGCUUUUAGAUAAAAUGAUUUUACUCCAAAAGCUGGGGCUUCUUGUAGGAAUGCAAGAAGCACUUCAAGUGCUUUUAUUUGUAUUUUUGCUAAGAAUUGAUUUCAAAAACUUUUUCACUAAAAUCACUUUUAGUUAUUAAAAAAAAACAUUUCUAAAUGUGCCUUAAUCAGGUUGCAGUCUAGUUUAGAGAUCAAUAAUUAAGCAUUACUAGUCGGAAGACUCAUUAAUUUACAAACAUAAACGUAUGGCAAUCAUUUUAAUCAUACGCGGUUUCUCUCUCUAUCUGUCUCCAAAAUCCCAAACCCAGAAGCCUCCCCCCCUCCGUUUCAAGUUUUAGCAGCCGUCCUUUACUCUUGCUCGGGGAAGGCGGUAGCCCACUACCCCUCAUUUUCCUCCUCCUUCCUUCCUUUCUUCUUUGCCCCUUCCUUUUUUUCCUCCCCUCUCAUCUCCUUUGCCACAUUACCCCUCCCUGCAUUCACCUCUUCUUCCUUCCCCCUUUCUAGUCUCCUUCAUGUGAUUUCAUUCUUGGUUCUCCCUGAGUUUUAUCCCAGUUUUUCUUGAGCCGAGUCUCAACUAUCACUUGAGCUUAUCUCAAAUUUGGGCUUUAUGCCCCUUAUUCAGCGUUUUUCACCUGUUGUACUGCUUUCUGUCUUUUAAUUUUUGUUCAUCCCUCUUCUCUAAUUGUGAUACUCCAUUCCCAUCCCACCAUGUUCUUGGAUCAGCAGGCUGCAAUUAGAAAUUAAAUAUCAGAUCCACUUUCCUCUCUCACUUUCCUUCCCCCAACCGGCAACCCUGACCCUCAUCGAGACCAAGUGUUGGGUGUUUUAUAUGCUCCCUUAGCCUCACUCUCUACCCAUAAGAUACUUUGUUUGUAGAUAUUGCAGGGGUUCGUGAAGGGGACUUGGAUCUAGUGUCUACUCUCUCGGUUCGAAAUUUGACUUCCUCUGAGGAUGUAACGGUUGCGGCGGUGUGGUUUAUGUUGCUGGAGAUUAGAGUUUUUUGUUGUUUGUUUUUUCAUCCUUCGGGUCCAAGCCUGUGUGGGCCUCCAGUUGUAUCUUAGGUUGUAGCUCUCAUUUUGCUUGAACCUUGUACUUUAUCUAUAGUUGUUUACCUGGUUCCCUUUGGAUCUUGUACUAAUUCUUAAUGUAAUAAAAUAUAUCUUACUUGACAAGAAAAAAAAACGUUUGGCAGUCAGUCACUGCUAAUACUGAAAUACUAGAGCUAAUUAAAUGACUAAAUACCGUAUUCAAACUAACAAAGAAGGAUAAGUAAAUGAAAUGGUGUAGGGUCAAACCUUUACCUGAAGGGUUUCACUUUCAAUAAUUAUUGGAGUAGGAUAACGGUCCACCGAGGGAAGCCAUGCAAAAUUUUUGUAGACUUUUGCACCUAAUCAAGUUGCAUUGAUUGAUACCACUAAUUAUUCAAACUCUCAUGUGGCGGUUGUUGAGUGUUAACUAACUUGAAUUAAUUUCUUUCAUUUUCUAUGCACGUCAAUACUCAUUGAUAUUAGUUGCAUAUCGAUAUUAUUAGCCAUUGAUAUGUCUUUUACUCACCACCUAAUUGAGUUCAACUAAAAUUAAUGACGAUCGUUCCGAUUUUCUUAGAAUGCCACUCGUUUACAAAAAUUAUAUCAGCUUUCAAUAUAGAAAUUAAAUUGAACCUAGAUUGGUUUUAAAGCAAUAUCAUAAAUUAAAGGUCUUUAAUUACUUUAUUUUAUGGUAGUCAAUAUUUAGUUAUUAUACACAGUAUAUUGGUGUAUAGAGCCUUUAUCUUUUUAUUUUCUUCUUUCAACCUCUACUUGGUCGUAACAGCUGUGUCCUGUAUUUCUUAUUAGGGAAGGGUUUGAAAAAUUGAAAACCGAAAAACCAAACCGAACACCAAAUGGAAGCAAAAAAAAUAAAAAUAAAAACUGAAUUAAAUUACAAAAAUCAAAUUGAAUCUUCUUUUGGUUCAAUUUGGUUUUAGUGGUCAGGAAACCGAACCAAAUCGAAUUAAAUAUAUAUUAAUUUUAUUGAUUUAUUUAUGUUAAGUAUUUAUUUUUGAAGUCCCAUUUCAAGCUAACUUUAGGCCCAAAUUGAAAGCCGAACUUCAA
This 54448-nucleotide long non-coding RNA is filed under the name Malus domestica (apple). Its description in RNAcentral is "long non-coding RNA (MDOM_LNC002691)". Lineage: Eukaryota; Viridiplantae; Streptophyta; Magnoliopsida; Rosales; Rosaceae. The record is from RNAcentral.